Molecule: long non-coding RNA, 78959 nt
Filed under: Triticum aestivum (bread wheat)
Lineage: Eukaryota; Viridiplantae; Streptophyta; Magnoliopsida; Poales; Poaceae
Description: long non-coding RNA (TAES_LNC005820)
Rfam family: MIR1120/MIR1122 microRNA precursor family (bases 68551-68675)
Source: RNAcentral
UGGAAUGCUACCUAGCAUAAUCUUGAUCACAUAUCUAAUCAUGGCAUGAAUAUUAAGACACGAGUGAUUCAAAGCAAUAGUCUAUCAUUUGACAUAAAAACAAUAAUACUUCAAGCCUACUAAUAAAGCAAUCAUGUCUUUUCAAAUAACUAGGCCAAAGAAAGUUAUCCCUACAAAAUCAUAUAGUCUGGCUAAAGAAAGUUAUCCCUACAAAAUCAUAUAGUCUGGCUAUGCUCCAUCUUCACCACACAAAAUACUCACAUCAUGCACAACCCCGAUGACAAGCCAAGCAAUUGUUUCAUACUUUUGAUGUUCUCAAACCUUUUCAACUUUCACGCAAUACAUGAGCGUGAGCCAUGGACAUAGCACUAUAGGUGGAAUAGAAUGGUGGUUGUGGAGAAGACAAAAAGGAGAAGAUAGUCUCACAUCAACUAGGCGUAUCAAUGGGCUAUGGAGAUGCCCAUCAAUAGAUAUCAAUGUGAGUGAGUAGGGAUUGCCAUGCAACAGAUGCACUAGAGCUAUAAGUAUAUGAAAGCUCUAACUGAAACUAAGUGGGUGUGCAUCCAACUUGCUUGCUCAUGAAGACUUAGGGCAUUUGAGGAAGCCCAUCGUUGGAAUAUGCAAGCCAAGUUCUAUAAUGAAAAUUCCCACUAGUAUAUGAAAGUGAUAACUCAAGAGACUCUCUAUAUGAAGAACGUGGUGCUACUUUGAAGCACAAGUGUGGUAAAAGGAUAGUAACAUUGACCCUUCUCUCGUUUUCUCUCAUUUUUUUGUAGGCUUCUUUGGCCUCUCUCUCUCUCUCUCUCUCUCUCUCUCUUUUUGGGCUUCUUUGGCCACUUUUAUUUUGAUAACCUCACAUGGGACAAUGCUCUAAUAAUGAUGAUCAUCACACUUUUAUUUACAUACAACUCGAUAUCUAAAACAAAGAUAUGACUCUAUAUGAAUGCCUCCGACGGUGUACCGGGAUGUGCAAUGAUCUAGCAUAGCAAUGUCAUCAAAAAAUGGACAAGCCAUGAAAACAUCAUGCUAGCUAUCUUACGAUCAUGCAAAGCAAUAUGACAAUGAAUGCUCAAGUCAUGUAUAUGAUGAUGAGGAAAGUUGCAUGGCAAUAUAUCUCGGAAUGGCUAUGGAAAUGCCAUGAUAGGUAAGUAUGGUGGCUGUUUUGAGGAAGGUAUCACUACUAGGAAAAAGCCUAGUAGUAGUGUGGGUUAAAAGCUAGUAGUAGCACGGGUGCCUGCGCUACUACUACGACGCUACAGCUAACUAGUAGUAGUAGCGCGGUGCAUCCCGCGCUACUAGUACGUGUGUUAGUAGUAGCGCGUGUCUGUGACCCGCGCUACUGAAGGAAAUAUGCCCUAGAGGCAAUAAUAAAGUUAUUACUUAUUUCCUUAUUUCAUGAUAAAUGUUUAUUAUUCAUGCUAGAAUUGUAUUAACCGGAAACAUAAUACAUGUGUGAAUACAUAGACAAACAGAGUGUCACUAGUAUGCCUCUACUUGACUAGCUCGUUGAUCAAAGAUGAUUAAGUUUCCUAACCAUAGACAUGAGUUGUCAUUUGAUUAACGGGAUCACAUCAUUAGGAGAAUGAUGUGAUUGACUUGACCCAUUCCGUUAGCUUAGCACUUGAUCAUUUAGUUUGUUGCUAUUGCUUUCUUCAUGACUUAUACAUGUUCCUAUGACUAUGAGAUUAUGCAACUCCCGUUUAUCGGAGGAACACUUUGUGUGCUACCAAAUGCCAUAACAUAACUGGGUGAUUAUAAAGGUGCUCUACAGGUGUCUCCAAAGGUACAUGUUGGGUUGGCAUAUUUUGAGAUUAGGAUUUGUCGCUCCGAUUGUCGGAGAGGUAUCUUCGGGCCCUCUCGGUAAUGCACAUCACUUAAGCCUUGCAAGCAAUGCAACUAAUGAGUUAGUUGCGAGGUGAUGUAUUACGGAACGAGUAAAGAGACUUGCCGGUAACGAGAUUGAACUAGGUAUUGAGAUACCGACGAUCGAAUCUCGGGCAAGUAACAUACCGAUGACAAAGGGAACAACGUAUGUUGUUAUGCGGUCUGACCGAUAAAGAUCUUCGUAGAAUAUGUAGGAGCCAAUAUGAGCAUCCAGGUUCCGCUAUUGGUUAUUGACCGGAGACGUGUCUCGGUCAUGUCUACAUUGUUCUCGAACCCGUAGGGUCCGCACGCUUAACGUUAUGAUGACAGUUUCAUUAUGAGUUUAUAUAUUUUGAUGUACUGAAGGUUGUUCGGAGUCCCGGAUGUGAUCACGGACAUGACAAGGAGUCUCGAAAUGGUCGAGACAUAAAGAUCGAUAUAUUGGACGGCUAUAUUCGGACACCGGAAGUGUUUCGGGUGAUUUCGGAGAGAACCGGAGUGCCGGAAGGGUUACCGAAACCCCCCGGGGAAGUAUUGGGCCUUAGUGGGCCUGAGGGGAGAGAGAGGGAAGCAGCCCAGGAGGUGGCGCGCCCCCUCCCAUGAGGAGUCCGAAUUGGACUAGGGGAAGGGGCGCGGCCCCUCUUUCCCUCUCCCUCUCCCUCUCUUUCCUUCCCCCUUCUCUCUUCCUAGUUGGACUAGGAAAGGGGAGUCCUACUCCUACUAGGAGGAGGACUCCCCCCCUCCUUGGUGCGCCCCAAGGGCCGGCUGGCCUCCCCCUUGCUCCUUUAUAUACGGGGGCAGGGGGGCACCUCUAGACACACAAGUUGAUCUUCGUGAUCGUUCUCUUAGCCGUGUGCGGUGCCCCCCUCCACCAUAAUCCUCGAUUAUAUUGUAGCGGUGCUUAGGUGAAGCCCUGCGACAGUAGAACAUCAAGAUCGUCACCACGCCGUCGUGCUGACGGAACUCUUCCCCAACACUUUGCUGGAUCGGAGUCCGGGGAUCGUCAUCGAGCUGAACAUGUGCUAGAACUCGGAGGUGCCGUAGUUUUGGUGCUUGAUCGGUCGAGCCAUGAAGACGUACGACUACAUCAACCACGUUGUCAUAACGCUUCCGCUUUCGGUCUACGAGGGUACAUGGACAAUACUCUCCCCUCUCGUUGCUUUGCAUCACCAUGAUCUUGCGUGUGCAUAGGAAUUUUUUUGAAAUUACUACGUUCCCCAACAGUGGCAUCCGAGCCUAGGUUUUAUGCAUUGAUGUUAUAUGCACGAGUAGAACACAAGUGAGUUGUGGGCGAUAUAAGUCAUACUGCUUACCAACAUGUCAUACUUUGGUUCGGCGGUAUUGUUGGAUGAAGCGGCCCGGACCGACAUUACGCUUACGCUUACGCGAGACUGGUUCUACCGACGUGCUUUGCACACAGGUGGCUGGCGGGUGUCAGUUUCUCCAACUUUAGUUGAACCAAGUGUGGCUACACCCGGUCGUUGCGAAGGUUAAAACAACACCAACUUGACAAACUAUCGUUGUGGUUUUGAUGCGUAGGUAAGAUUGGUUCUUGCUUAAGCCCGUAGCAGCCACGUAAAACUUGCAACAAACAAAGUAGAGGACGUCUAACUUGUUUUUGCAGGGCAUGUUGUGAUGUGAUAUGGUCAAGACAUGAUGCUAAAUUUUAUUGUAUGAGAUGAUCAUGUUUUGUAACCGAGUUAUCGGCAACUGGCAGGAGCCAUAUGAUUGUCGCUUUAUUGUAUGCAAUGCAAUCGCCCUGUAAUGCUUUAUUUUAUCACUAAGCGGUAGUGAUAGUCGUAGAAGCAUAAGUUUGGCGAGACGACAACGAUGCUACGAUGGAGAUCAAGGUGUUGCGUCGGCGACAAUGGUGAUCAUGAUGAUGCUUCGGAGAUGGAGAUCACAAGCACAAGACGAUGAUGGCCAUAUCAUAUCACUUAUAUUGAUUGCAUGUGAUGUUUAUCUUUUAUGCAUCUUAUCUUGCUUUGAUUGACGGUAGCAUUAUAAGAUGAUCUCUCACUAAAUUUCAAGAUAAAAGUGUUCUCCCUGAGUAUGCACCGUUGCCAAAGUUCGUCGUGCCCAGACACCACGUGAUGGUUGGGUGUGAUAAGCUCUACGUCCAUCUACGACGGGUGCAAGCCAGUUUUGCACACGCAGAAUAGUCAGGUUAAACUUGACGAGCCUAGCAUAUGCAGAUAUGGCCUCGGAACACUGAGACCGAAAGGUCGAGCAUGAAUCAUAUAGUAGAUAUGAUCAACAUAGUGAUGUUCACCAUUGAAAACUACUCCAUUUCACGUGAUGAUCGGUUAUGGUUUAGUUGAUUUGAAUCACGUGAUCACUUAGAUGAUUAGAGGGAUGUCUAUCUAAGUGGGAGUUCUUAAGUAAUAUGAUUAAUUGAACUUUAAUUUAUCAUGAAACUUAGUCCUGGUAGUAUUAGCAUAUCUAUGUUGUAGAUCAAUAGCUCGCGUUUAGCUCCCCUGUUUUAUUUUGACAUGUUCCUAGAGAAAACUAAGUUGAAAAAAUGUUAGUAGCAAUGAUGCGGAUUGGAUCCGUGAUCUGAGGUUUAUCCUCAUUGCUGCAUAGAAGAAUUAUGUCCUUGAUGCACCGCUAGGUGACAGACCUAUUGCAGGAGCAGAUGCAGACGUUAUGAACGUUUGGAUAGCUCAAUAUGAUGACUACUUGAUAGUUUAGUGCACCAUGCUUAACGGCUUAGAAUCGGGACUUCAAAGACGUUUUGAAUGUCAUGGACCAUAUGAGAUGUUCCAGGAGUUGAAGUUAAUAUUUCAAGCAAAUACCCGAGUUGAGAGAUAUGAAGUCUCCAACAAGUUCUAUAGCUAAAAGAUGGAGGAGAAUCGCUCAACUAGUGAGCAUGUGCUCAGAUUGUCUGGGUACUACAAUCGCUUGAAUCAAGUGUGAGUUAAUCUUCCAGAUAAAAUAGUGAUUGACAGAAUUCUCUAGUCACCAUCACCAAGUUAGUAGAACUUCGUGAUGAACUAUGAUAUGCAAGGGAUAACGAAAACGAUUCCCAAGCUCUUCGUAAUGCUGAAAUUGACGAAGGUAGAAAUCGAGAAAAACAUCAAGUGUUGAUGGUAGACAAGACCACUAGUUUCAAGAAAAGGGCAAAGGGAAAAAGGGGAACUUCAAGAAGAACAGCAAGCAAGUUGCUGCUCAAGUGAAGAAGCCCAAGUCUGGUCCUAAGCCUGAGACUAAGUGCUUCUACUGUAAAGGGACUGGUCACUGGAAGCGGAACUACCCCAAGUGAUUGGCAGAUAAGAAGGAUGGCAAAGUGAACAUAAGUAUAUUUGAUAUACAUGUUAUUGAUGUGUACUUUACUAGUGUUUAUAGCAACCCCUCAAUAUUUGAUACUAGUUCAGUUGCUAAGAGUACUAACUCGAAACGAGAGUUGCAGAAUGAACAGAGACUAGUUAAGGGUGAAGUGACGAUGUGUGUUGGAAGUAGUUCCAAGAUUGAUAUGAUCAUCAUCGCACACUCCCUAUACUUCGGGAUUAGUGUUGAACCUAAAUAAGUGUUAUUUGGUGUCUGCGUUGAGCAUGAAUAUGAUUUGAUCAUGUUUAUUGCAAUACGGUUAUUCAUUUAAGUAAGAGAAUAAAUUGUUGUUCUGUUUACAUGAAUAAAACCUUAUAUGGUUACACACCCAAUGAAAAUGGUUCGUUGGAUCUCGAUCGUAGUGAUACACAUAUUCAUAAUAUUAAAACCAAAAGAUGCAAAGUUAAUAAUGAUAGUGCAACUUAUUUGUGGCACUGCCAUUUAGGUCAUAUUGCUGUAAAGCGCAUGAAGAAACUCCAUGCUGAUGGGCUUUUGGAAUCACUUGAUUAUGAAUCACUUGAUGCUUGCGAACCACGCCUCUUGGGCAAGAUGACUAAGACUCCGUUCUCCGGAACAAUGGAGCGAGCAACUGACUUAUUGGAAAUAAUACAUACGGAUGUAUGUGAUCCGAUGAGUGUUGAGGCUCGUGGCGGGUAUCAUUAUUUUCUGAUAUUCACAGAUGAUUUGAGCAGAUAUGAGUAUAUCUACUUAAUGAAACACAAGUCUAAAACAUUUGAAAAGUUCAAAGAAUUUCAGAGUGAAGUGGAGAAUCAUCGUAACAAAAAUAAAAGUUUCUACGAUAUGAUCGCAGAAGUAAAAUAUUUGAGUUACGAGUUUGGCCUUCAGUUAAAACAAUGUGAAAUAGUUUCACUACUCAUGCCAGCUGGAACACCACAAUGUAAUGGUGUGUCCGAACGUCAUAACCGUACUUUAUUAGAUAUGGUGCGAUCUAUGAUAUCUCUUACCAAUCUACCACUAUCGUUUUGGGGUUAUGCAUUAGAGACAGCUGCAUUCACGUUAAAUAGGGCACCAUCUAAAUCCGUUGAGACGACACCGUAUGGACUAUGGUUUGGCAAGAAACCUAAGCUGUCGUUUCUUAAAGUUUGGGGCUGCGAUGCUUAUAUGAAAAUGUUUCAUCCUGAUAAGCUCAAACCCAAAUCGGAGAAAUGUGUCUUCAUAGGAUACCCAAAGGAGACUGUUGGGUACACCUUCUAUCACAGAUCCGAAGGCAAGACUUUUGUUUCUAAAUUCGGAGUCUUUCUAGAGAAGGAGUUUCUCUCGAAAGAAGUGAGUGGGAGGAAAGUAGAACUUGAUGAGGUAACUGUACCUGCUCCCUUAUUGAAAGUAGUUCAUCACAGAAAUCUGUUCCUGUGACUACUACACCAAUUAGUGAGGAAGCUAAUGAUGAAGAUCAUGUAACUUCAGAUCAAGUUACUACCGAAACCUCGUAGGUAAACCAGAGUGAGAUCCGCACCAGAGUGGUACGGUAAUCUUGUUCUGAUGGUCAUGUUACUUGACCAUGACGAACCUACGAACUAUGAGGAAGCGAUGAUGAGCCCGGAUUCCGCGAAAUGGUUUGAGGCCAUGAAAUCUGAGAUAGGAUCCAUGUAUGAUAACAAAGUAUGGACUUUGGUUGACUUGCCGGAUGAUCGGCAAGCCAUUGAAAUUAAAUGGAUCUUCAAGAGGAAGACGGACGCUGAUAGUAGUGUUACUAUCUACAAAGCUAGACUUGUCGAAAAAGGUUUUUGACAAAGUUCAAGGAAUUGACUACAGUGAGACCUUCUCACUCGUAGCGAUGCUUAAGUCUGUCCAAAUCAUGUUAGCAAAUUGCCACAUUUUAUGAAAUCUGGCAAAUGGAUAACAAAACUACAAUCCUUAAUGGAUUUCUUAAAGAAGAGUUGUAUAUGAUGCAACCAGAAGUUUUUGUCAAUCCUAAAGGUGUUAACAAAAUGUGCAAACUCCAGCGAUCCAUCUAUGGACUGGUGCAAGCAUCUCGGAGUUGGAAUAUACGCUUUGAUGAAUUGAUCAAAGCAUAUAGUUUUAUACAGACUUGCGGUGAAGCCUGUAUUUACAAGAAAGUGAGUGGGAGUACUAUAGCAUUUCUGAUAAGUAUAUGUGAAUGACAUAUUGUUGAUAGGAAAUAAUGUAGAAUUAUUCUGCAAAGCAUAAAGGAGUGUUUGAAAGAAGUUUUUCAAACAAAGACCUCGGAGAAGCUGCUUACAUAUUGAGCAUCAAGAUCUAUAGAGAUAGAUCAAGACGCUUGAUAAGUUUUUUCAAUGAGUACAUACCUUGACAAGAUUUUGAAAUAGUUCAAAAUGGAACAGUCAAAGAAAGAGUUCUUGCCUGUGUUACAAGGUGUGAAAUUGAGUAAGACUCAAAGCCCGACCACGGCAGAAGAUAGAAAGAGAAUGAAAUUCAUUCCCUAUGCCUCAGCCAUAGGUUCUAUAAAGUAUGCCAUGCUGUGUACCAGACCUAUUGUAUACCCUGCCCUGAGUUUGGCAAGGGAGUGCAAUAGUGAUCUAGGAGUAGAUCACUGGACAUUGGUCAAAAUUAUCCUUACUGGAGUAAGGAUAUGUUUCUCGAUUAUGGAGGUGACAAAAGGUUCGUCGUAAAGGGUUACGACGAUGCAAGUUUUGACACUGAUCCAGAUGACUCUAAGUCUCAAUCUGGAUACAUAUUGAAAGUGGGAGAAAUUAGCUAGAGUAGCUCCAUGCAGAGCAUUGUUGACAUAGAAAUUUGCAAAAUACAUACGGAUCUGAAUGUUGCAGACCCGUUGACUAAACUUCUCUCACAAGCAAAACAUGAUCACACCUUAGUACUCUUUGGGUGUUAAUCACAUAGUGAUGUGAACUAGAUUAUUGACUCUAGUAAACCCUUUGGGUGUUGGUCACAUGACGAUGUGAACUAUGGGUGUUAAUCACAUGGUGAUGUGAACUAUUGAUGUUAAAUCACAUGGCGAUGUGAUCUAGAUUAUUGACUCUAGUGCAAGUGGGAGACUGAAGGAAAUAUGCCCUAGAGGCAAUAAUAAAGCUAUUAUUUAUUUCCUUAUUUCAUGAUAAAUGUUUAUUAUUCAUGCUAGAAUUGUAUUAACCGGAAACAUAAUACAUGUGUGAAUACAUAGACAAACAGAGUGUCACUAGUAUGCCUCUACUUGACUAGCUCGUUGAUCAAAGAUGAUUAAGUUUCCUAACCAUAGACAUGAGUUGUCAUUUGAUUAAUGGGAUCACAUCAUUAGGAGAAUGAUGUGAUUGACUUGACCCAUUCCGUUAGCUUAGCACUUGAUCGUUUAGUUUGUUGCUAUUGCUUUCUUCAUGACUUAUACAUGUUCGUAUGACUAUGAGAUUAUGCAACUCCCGUUUACCGGAGGAACACUUUGUGUGCUACCAAAUGCCAUAACGUAACUGGGUGAUUAUAAAGGUGCUCUACAGGUGUCUCCAAAGGUACAUGUUGGGUUGGCGUAUUUCGAGAUUAGGAUUUGUCGCUCCGAUUGUCGGAGAGGUAUCUCUGGGCCCUCUCGGUAAUGCACAUCACUUAAGCCUUGCAAGCAAUGCAACUAAUGAGUUAGUUGCGAGAUGAUGUAUUACGAAACGAGUAAAGAGACUUGCCUGUAACGAGAUUGAACUAGGUAUUGAGAUACCGACGAUCGAAUCUCGGGCAAGUAACAUACUGAUGACAAAGGGAACAACGUAUGUUGUUAUGCGGUCUGACCGAUAAAGAUCUUCGUAGAAUAUGUAGGAGCCAAUAUGAGCAUCCAAGUUCCGCUAUUGGUUAUUGACCAGAGACGUGUCUCGGUCAUGUCUACAUUGUUCUCGAACCCGUAGGGUCCGCACGCUUAACGUUACAAUGACAGUUUCAUUAUGAGUUUAUAUAUUUUGAUGUACCGAAGGUUGUUCGGAGUCCCGGAUGUGAUCACGAACAUGACGGGGAGUCUCAAAAUGGUCGAGACAUAAAGAUCGAUAUAUUGGACGGCUAUAUUCGGACACCGGAAGUGUUUCGGGUGAUUUCGGAGAAAACCGGAGUGCCGGAAGGGUUACCGGAACCCCCCGGGGAAGUAUUGGGCCUUAGUGGGCCUGAGAGGAGAGAGAGGGCAGCAGCCCAGGAGGUGGCGCGCCCCCUCCCAUGAGGAGUCCGAAUUGGACUAGGGGAGGGGGCGCGGCCCCUCUUUCCCUCUCCCUCUCCCUCUCUUUCCUUCCCCCUUCUCUCUUCCUAGUUGAACUAGGAAAGGGGAGUCCUACUCCUACUAGGAGGAGGACUCCCCCCUCCUUGGCGCGCCCCAAGGGCUGGCCGGCCUCCCCCUUGCUCCUUUAUAUACGGGGGCAGGGGGCACCUCUAGACACACAAGUUGAUCUUCGUGAUCGUUCUCUUAGCCGUGUGCGGUGCCCCCCUCCACCAUAAUCCUCGAUAAUGUUGUAGCGGUGCUUAGGCGAAGCCCUGUGACAGUAGAACAUCAAGAUCGUCACCACGCCGUCGUGCUGACGGAACUCUUCCCCGACACUUUGCUGGAUCGGAGUCCGGGGAUCGUCAUCGAGCUGAACGUGUGCUAGAACUCAGAGGUGUCGUAGUUUCGGUGCUUGAUCGGUCGGGCCGUGAAGACGUACGACUACAUCAACCGCGUUGUCAUAACGCUUCCGCUUUCGGUCUACGAGGGUACGUGGACAAUACUCUCCCCUCUCGUUGCUAUGCAUCACCAUGAUCUUGCGUGUGCGUAGGAAAUUUUUUGAAAUUACUACGUUCCCCAACAGCUACUACUAUUAAUUUGAAAAACCAAAAAAAAUCUCGACCCCAUGGCACGCGCACGUUGGCCGGGAGCAGGGAGAUCUCGACCAUGACGCGUGCCUCCUGGAAGCCGUCGAGGGCGGCCGCAGAGGCCAACCCGGCGUGGGCCGGGAGCUGGAGGACCUGCAUCUUGGCAUCGUGCGUGGGGAGCAGCUCCUCGCGGCGGCCAUCGCCGUUGAGGUCGGCAUGAGCGGCGGCAGGAGAAGGUCCACGUCACCCGGAACGAGAAGUCGCCCUCGUGCUGCCGGAGGAGGAGGGGGAUGGGUCAGCUAGCAUUCCGGAUCGAAUCGGAGAGGGGGGAGGAGGAGGGAUGACCUGGAGCAAGAAGAAGACGGUGAAGGCGGCGCGGAGGAGGAUGUCGUGGUCGCGCUUCCGCAUCUUGGCGGCGGCAAGGAGCUCCGGCGACCGCCCACCGGAGGGAUCUCGGAGAGGGAGGGGGCGAAGAAAGUAGAGUGUACCAGUGGCGGCCACCGCUAGAGUAUGAGGGAGAGACGAGCAAAGUGAGAGAGGGGGAAAGUGAGGGAGAGAGGAUAGAUUCGGGUGAGGAUACGGGGAUUUCACCUACCUCGUACUUAGUAGUAGCGAGGGGUGCAAAACCGCGCUACUACUAUCAACUUAGUAGUAGUGAGGGUUAAAAACCAGCGCUACUAGUAUCAACUUAGUAGUAGCGAGGGUUAAAAACCAGCGCUACUAGUAAGUAGCAGUAGCGAGGGUUAUAAACCCUCGCUACUAGUAAGUGUUUGCCUAUAAGCUUUUCCCUAGUAGUGUAUAUGGUGGGUUUAUGGUACCGGCGAAAGUUGCGCGGUACUAGAGAGGCUAGCAAUGAUGGAAGGGUGAGAGUGCGUAUAAUCCAUGGACUCAACAUUAGUCAUAAAGAACUCACAUACUUAUUGCAAAAAUCUAUUAGUCGUCGAAACAAAGUACUACACGCAUGCUCCUAGGGGGGAUAGAUUGGUAGGAAAUGACCAUCGCUCGUCCCCGACCGCCACUCAUAAGGCAGACAAUCAAUAAAUACAUCAUGCUCCAACUUCGUUACAUAACGGUUCACCAUACGUGCAUGCUACGGGAAUCACAAACCUCAACACAAGUAUUUCUACAAUUCAUAACCACCAACUAGCAUGACUCUAAUAUCACCAUCUUUAUAUCGUAAAACUAUUGCAAGGAAUCAAACAUAUCAUAUUCAGUGAUCUACAAGUUUUAUGUAGGAUUUUAUGACUAUCCAUGUGAAUGACCAGUUUCUGUCAUCUCUCUAAAUGGAUAUAAGUGAAGCAAGAGAGUUUAAUUCUUUCUACAAAAGAUAUGUCCAUGCUCUAACAAAUCUAAGUGAAGCAAAAGAGCAUUCUACAAAUGGCGGUUGUCUAUGUAAAUAGAAACAGGCAAUCCAAGCUUCAAAUGAUAUAAGUGAAGCACAUGAAGCAUUCUAUAAAGCCAUACUCAAAAGAUAUAAGUGAAGUGCAAUGAGAAUUCUAUAAAUCAACCAAUCACUACCUCAUACCAGCAUGGUGGAUAAAAGAAAAAUGAAAACUAAAUGCAAAAGACACUCCAAGAUUGCACAUAUCGCAUGAACGAAAUGAAUCCGAAAACAUACCGAUACUUAUUGAAGAAAGAGGGGAUGCCUUCCCAGCAUCCCCAAGCUUAGACACUUGAGUUUCCUUGAAUAUUUACUUGGGGUGCCUCGGGCAUCCCCAAGCUUGAGCUCUUGCCUCUCUUCCUUCUUCUUACAUCGAGACCUUCUCGAUCAUCGAACACUUCAUCCACACAAAACUUCAACAGAAAACUCGAUAAGAUCCAUUAGUAUAAUAAAGCAAAUCACUACUCUAAGUACUGUUGCAAACCAAUUCAUAUGUUGUUUUUGCAUUGUAUCUACUGUAAUAUAACUUUUUCAUGGCUUAAUCCACUAAUAUAAAUCAAUAGUUUCAUCAAAACAAGCAAACUAUGCAUCAAAAAUAGAAUAUGUCUAAAACAGAACAGUCUGUAAUAAUCUGAACAUUCACCAUACUUCUGAUACUUGAAAAAUUCUACCAAAAUUAUGAAAAAUAAAAAUUUGUAUAGGAAGACAGUGCAAAAAGAAUUAGAACCAUUUGACGUUCCAGAUAAAAAUGUAAAAUCGCGCACUACAGCCAAAGUUUCUGUCCUGCACCAAACCAUCAAGCAAAUGUAAACAUCCUAAAGGCAAACCUUGGCACAUUAUUUUUAUAAUACAAUGGAAUUAUACAAGGGGAUAAAUAUUUUUGUUGAAAAAUUUCUGUAAUCAAGAUUCACAAAGUUUCAGUGAGCAUGAACAAAGUUCAAGGAGCUCUCCCACUUCAACAAUGCUUGUCUUUCUCACUUUCACUUUCCCUUUAGAAAAAGUUUUGAGUUCCCCUCUUUAUUUUUGUUGUUUUUAAACUAUAUGAAAGCACUCAACAGAAAUAAAUGACUCUCUAAAACUUUUGGGUUGUCUCCCUGGCAGCGCCUUCUUUAAAGCCAUUAAGCUAGGCAUAUAGUGCUCAAGUAAUGGAUCCACCCGGAUCCCAAGGUAUAUCAAAGCCAAUUUUAAUUAACAAUGAUUUGUAAUUUAGUGGUGAGCACAAGGUAACAUAUAUCAUGUAAUGACGAAGUCUAACUCUCUUCCUAUGCAUCGGCAUGUCAUAAAAGAACAAUUCAUGCACACAAAGUAAAGGCCAAUGCAUAGUAUAAACAGGUUCUUGCAAUUUUAUCGUAUUAGAAACAUAGAGAGGUGGAGAUAUAGUUCCUCUCUCAUAAUAAUUGCAAGUAGGAGCAGCAAGCACAUGCAUAUUAUAUCUAUCAAAAUCAUCAUGUGCAACGAUAAAAGGCAACCCAUCAAUAUAAUCCCUAAUAAGUGCAAACCUCUCCGCUAUAGUGUAGUCGGGAGAAUUCAAAAAGAUAAUAGGACUAUCAUGCGUGGGUGAAAUAGCAACAAUUUCAUGUUUAACAUAAGGAACUAUAGCAAGUUCAUCUCCAUAAGCAUAAUUCAUAUUGGCAUCUUGGCCACAAGCAUCAUCAAAAAGGGAUGUUUCAAAAGAAUCGACGAGAUCAUAACAGUCAUCAUAGCAAUCAUCCUUCGGUAAGCACAAAGGGGAAUUAAACAAUGUAUGAGUUGAAGAGUUACUCUCAUAGGAGGUGGGCACGGGUGAUCAAUCCGCUCUUCCUUCUUUUGUUCUUCGCUCUCCUCCUCAUCUUUUUCAUCCAAUGAGCUCACAGUUUCAUCAACUUCUUCUUCCAUAGAUUUCUGCAAAAUAUUAGUCUCUUCUUGGACAGCGGAGACUUUCUCAAUAAGCGCAUUAAUAUAGUAAUUAUAUUCAUAAUUAUCAUAGCAAUAUUUUAAGAUAGCUAAAUUUUCAGGCCUAUAAACAUCAUCAUCAUAAGCUUCAUUCUUUUCAAACAAAGAUUCAAUUUAAUAAGCACCCUUAAAAGCAACAAAUUCUUCUAUUUGUUCCACAUCAUAGUAAUCAUAUAUACCUCUAGCAUAAGAAGCCAAGGUUUCAUUAUCAUUAAAUUCACAUGAAAAGGAAAGGUGUGGAGCCUUCAUCCUAGAGCAACAAGUAAUAUAAUAACUCAAGCAUACUUGCCGAGCAUACCACUUCAAUAUAUAAAUUUGAUACCAUAAUAGUUUCCCUUUUUGUGUCAAGCGAUAAUCCCUAAAGUAUUCACGUUGAUCCAACGUUACUCCCAUUACCAGAUUGAAUGAGGUUUUCUCAGGAUUAUCAAAGUGGUACAUAAUAUUUUUCACAUAUUGAGCAUCGAGGGUUUUAGGAGGUUCCUCAUCUCCAUGAGUAGCAAGUACACCUAAUAUUUUUGGUAUUUCGUGUUCCAUAUCCAUAACUAAAGAUAGAGAACAACUAAGAACAGCAAAUAAAAAUUACUUAGUGAUAAAGAAAACAAGCACACACGAGAAUAUUCACCCCACGCUAUUGCUCCUCGGCAACGGCGCUAGAAAAAGGUCUUGAUAACCCACAAGUAUAGGGGAUCGCAACAGUUUUCGAUAAGUAAGAGUGUCGAACCCAACGAGGAGCUAAAGGCAGAACAAAUAUUCCCUCAAGUUCUAUCGACCACCGAUACAACUCUACGCACGCCUGAUGUUCACUUUACCUAGAACAAGUAUGCAACUAGAAGUACUUUGUAGGUGUUGUUGAGUAGGUUUGCAAGAUAAUAAAGAGCAAGUAAAUAAAAAGUAGUGGCUGUUUAGAUAAAGACACAACUAAGUUAGGUUUAGUAGAGAGCUUGUUAUCAAGAGAAAGUUAUUUGUCCCUAGGCAAUCGAUAACUAGACCGGUAAUCAUUAUUACAAUUUUAUUUGAGGGAGAGGCAUAAGCUAACAUACUUUCUCUACUUGGAUCAUAUGCACUUAUGAUUGGAACUCUAGCAAGCAUCCGCAACUACUAAAGAUUCAUUAAGGUAAAACCCAACCAUAGCAUUAAAGCAUCAAGUCCUCUUUAUCCCAUACGCAAACAACCUACUUACUCGGUUUUGUGCUUCUGUUCACUCACGCCACCCACCAUAAGCAAAUCAUAAACAUAUUGCAACACCCUACAGCAGGGAUCCCUCACGCUUGCGCGACACAGAGAGCACCAUAGGACAACACCAAUAAUAAAACAUGCAACUCAAACCAAUCUUGAUCAUCAAAUAGCCAUUAGGAUAAAACGGAUCUACUCAAACAUCAUAGGAUAGCCAUACAUCAUAGGGAAAUAAUUAUAGCGUUGAGCACCAUGUUUAAGUAGAGAUUACAGCGGGUAAGAGAGAGAUUACACCGCUGCAUAGAGGGGGAAAGAGUUGGUGGUGAAGGCGGUGAAGUUGUUGGAGAAGAUGACGGUGAUGAUGAUGGCCCCCGGUGGCACUCCGGCGCCACCGGAAGCAAGGGGGAGAGGGCCCCCCUUCUUCUUCUUCCUUGACCUCCUCCCUAGAUGGCAGAAGGGUUUCCCCUCUGGUCCUUGGCCUCCAUGGCGUGGGAGGGGCGAGAGCCCCUCCGAGAUUGGAUCUGUCUUUUUGUCUCUCUUUGUUUCUGCGUUCUCCCCAGGCUAUGUUUCACCGUUUCGUAUAUAUACGGAGAUCCGUAACUCUGAUUGGCCUGAAACCUUCGCCGUGAUUUUUUCCCGAAAAUUAGCUUUCUUGCGGCAAAAGAAGAGCGUCAACCGCCUUACGGGUGGCUCACAAGGGUAGGGGGCCCGCCCCCUGCCUCGUGACACCCUCGGGCAUCGUCUCGCGUGGAUUUUUCUUCUGGAAUUUUCCAAAUAUUCCAAAAAGUAUCUCCAUCCAUUUUUAUCCCGUUUGGACUCCGUUUGAUAUGGAUAUUCUGCGAAACCAAAAACAUGCAACAGACAGGAACUGGCACUGGGCACUGGAUCAAUAUGUUAGUCCCAAAAAUAGUAUAAAAAAUUGCCAAAAGUAUAUGAAAGUUGUAGAGUAUUGGCAUUGAACAAUAAAAAAAUAUAGAUACGACGGAGAACGGACGCUGUUUUUUUACCUAACAUCACAACGGCAGAAGUGGCCGAGUUGCUGGCAUGCAGGAGGGCGGUGGCACUAGCUCUGCAAAGAGGUGUGCCCAAACUCCAUCUGGACACCGACUGUCUGAACGUGGCCCGGAUGCUGAAUGAGCAAGAUCGAUAUCUGUCGUCGGUAGGUAUCAUGGUGGAAGAGAUCAAGGGGAUGGCUACAAACUUGGGGGAGUUCAAAGCUACAUGGGUGAGGAGGGAGGCGAAUAAAGCGGCUCAUGAGAUUGCCUGGUUCGGUUUUUGUAAUAGUGUUUCAGUUUCGUGGGAGAAUUCUCCCCGAGAUUGUAUUCUGAGUAUUGUGUUUGAUGAACUUCCUAGUUUAGCUUAAUAAAGUGGGGAGGUGAUUUUCAAAAAAUAAAAAGAAAACGGAGGUGGGUUGGAUGGGAGGAGGAAAUAAAGGACAUAAAAUGAAACCUUGCGUAUUAUUUAAAUAAGAGAGAAAUUAGAUAAUUCACAGUGCAUUACAACAGGGCUACAAAUACUCUGUAUGCAAUCAAAGUGAUUUACAUGCUAUCCCGCUGUUAAUAUGGUCAUAUAUAAAAAAUUGUACUUUAGCUACAAACUGAAUAGUACAUAUCGACUUACAAAAAAGCAUGAUUUAAUUGGGUAAGGCACAUGAGGUGCUUUUCAAGGGAAAAACCGAAGAAAAAAAUGGAUGGGUUUUAAUUGUUACCUUUUGCACCUCCAAAUAUAUGUUCACACAAUUUGAAACUAAAUAUUCAUGUAUGUUUCCUACAAGUGGAAGGAAUUCUUUUUGAAAACAUAAUGGGUAAUUAAAAAUCUACAAGGUAUACUCUAAAAUUUUAAAGGUAAAAAAUAAAACUAAAAGUAAAAAGAGAGAAAAAGGUGAAAAGAAAAACAUACAGAACUCUGCGCACUUUGGGUGAAAAGGUGCCUAUUACUCCUUCACGCCAUCUCCUACAGCUCAUCAAGGAUGAAGCUCGGCUAUGGGCGCAAGCGGGUGCUUUGGGCUUGGUGAACAUCAUUAGGGAGUAGUCGGCAUGCAGUAGUUUGUAUUCCGAGCCCUACCCCCCUCUCUAUCUUUCGGCACAGUGUUUUGGUUGAAUGUCAGAGACUUUGUAACUUAGCGCGACUAUAUUGAUCAGUCCCUUUAGUGAUCUGAUAAAGGAGCAGAAAGGAUUCUCUCCUUUUUCCUAAAGGUGAUCCUGAGUUAUGGAACCCACGAGAGGACGGUGCCCUUUAAGCAAGGGUUUCUAACAAGUUUUUGCAAGAGAAUUAAAUUUCAUCUUUUGUCCAGAUCGCCAAUCAAGCUGACACUGAAAACACUUAUAAUAAAAAUAGGCAUGGGCAUGAGAACUUAUGCUUACAACCAUAUAUUUGUGUCGAUAUCAUCAUGAUCUUAAUUUUUGCUCCGGAAGGCAUCCAUCAAGAUGUGCUUGCUAUGUACCGAAGUGGGGGAUGUGUUCAAAUUACGUCUUAACCAGCACGCGUCCUGCAUUAAGAGUCAGUUGUCCAACCUAAGGCCCUAUCCAUUAUGUGGGGUUACCGCGAUAUUUAAGGUACAAAUAAUCGAACAAAAGCAUUGGGCAUUUAAUGACUACACCUCUUGAAUCUCCAAGGAUAGGAUCCGUGUUACCAUAUUAAAUCUCUCUAUCUCUGAUGUUCAGAAUAACACUUCACGGUUUCCCUGCUCUUAGCCUCUCCGUGACUCGCUCUCCAUGAUCCUAGGUACCUACACUGAUGAAGAAUGCGAACAAGACAAGAGACAACUACGGAGCAACUUUAUGCUACACAUACAAGACAUUAAUUCAAAGUACUUUCAUCAGUCUCUCCAACAAAUACAUCGGGUUGCAUGGCCUUUGCCUCGACCCAUAACCUUACUAAACUACUCACACAAUGGAUUGAUUGUACGUAGAACUCAUCAUGAAGAUUGAUUGAUUGAUUAUAUGUCUUACAAUGAAUGUCGUAUGUGACUAGAUGGGUAAGAACUAUGGUGGUGAUGAAAGUUGUGGCUAUGAAGGUGGGAAAAUGACGGUGGCUAGGGUUGAUGGAGAUGGCUUUUGUGCAGACGACGUUGUGUGGCUUGUUCUGCGAUGUUCUGUUGCUCAUUUGGCGUCGCGCCCUUUAUAAAGGUUGUUCAGGUGGAUCAGACGUCUCAGUUGGCACGCCAUAUGACCGCCCAUAUGAGCGGGCACGGGCGCAUGGAACGUUGUCUUCUGCUCUGGCGCCUCAGAUGUGCCUCCCACUUGAUCUCCUCUAUCUUCAAUUUACUCAUUUCCGUGUAUUGACUUGAUUUCGUCCAUAAAUAGUCCAUUUCCUGUGAAAACGAAAUAAAGAUCGGAUAUUUGAAAUCCUUUGUAUUCAUUAGUCAUUAAUCAGAAUGAAUAUCUCAAUUUUAAUAAAAUACUUCGGUUUAAGCUCAGGUUAGAGGAGUGUAAAAAUAACACUCAUCAACUAUAUGGGGUGAUCUGUGAGAGUUCUUAUUCUGGGGCACGACUAUAUGUCGCUUAGCGCGAGACCGAGCUUACACUCGCGUCGAGGUUCGGUAUUAACAGGCCAGCCCAAGUAGCUUCCAUGUUAGUUUGUUUUUCUGCUAUUUUUCAUUAGUUCAUUUUUUGUUUAUAUUUACUAAAAUAAGCAAAAAAAUAAAUGUUAUUAAAAUUUUAAAAUGUUGAAGCGGUGCACAAAAUUUAUUAGCCUAAUCCUAAAACAAAUGUUGAUACCAUUGAAAAAAGUUCUUUGUGACAAAAAAGUUCACGUGUUUAAAAAAAGUGUACAUGGCAUUAUGGAAAAAUGUUAAUCAUGUAUGACAAAAAUGUUAUAUGUGUAUAAGGAAAUGCUCUUGACGUUUAGAAGAAAUAUGUAAAUAUGUAUUAGAAAAGAAGACAUAAAAACAUAUAUAUAUGAAAAAAUGAUAAUCAUGACCUUAAAUAAUGGAAAACAUGUGCAAAACAAAUAUUAGCGCAAUUUAAAAAAUGUUGCUGCGUUUCUAAAAAUAUAUGUGGAAUAUUUGAAAAAUAUUAAUACAAACUCAGAAUUUGUUUUUGGAGUAUAAAAAACUUUCAUAACAUAUAUAGAAUGCACAUGAAAUUUUAAAGAAAUAAUCUCGUUUUUCAAAAAAAUGUUACUGUCAUGUUUAACAAAUGUUUACAUAUUGUAAGAAAAUGUUCACGUUGUUAACAGAAAUGGUUGUAACCAGAAUAAACUUUGACCAACUAUUCGAAUGUUUUUCGAAACAUGUAUGAAAGAAAUGUACAUCGUGUAUUUGAAAAAAUGUUCAACGGGUAAUAAUAAUAACUGUUUCAUGUAAAGACUAAAAAUGUAUAUUGGGCACUGAAGAUAAGUAGACAUGUGUUAAACAAAAAAAUGAAAAACGACAAACAAACAAAGAAGAAAUGCGUAGACAGACCGCAAAAAAAUGAGAGAGAAAAAACCAAUACCAAGGGAAACUGAAAAGGAAACAUAGAAAACUGGUGACAAAACUCGCCAUGCCUCUCGCGGGGAAAAACCUUUCCUCUCGCGUAAGCAAAACCAUGCAUCGCACGAAAGAAGAAGAAAAGAAGUGAAAACUCUUUUAUUUUUCUUUCGUUUCCGAGAGGCACGGCCGUGCCUCUCACGGAAGCAAACCCAUGCCUCUCGUAGAAGCAAAGCCAUGUCUCUUAAGAAAGAAAAAGAAGCAUGUUUUUUCAUGCAUUUUUUGAAUUUUGUUUUUGUCGAAAACUAAGCAAGACCGGUGAAAAACCGAAAAGUAAAAAAAACAGGGAAAAACCAUCUAAAAAGCCAAAAACGCAUCCGAAAAAAAAUCUGGAGGAAGCACCUAGGUCGUGACAUGUGGCGGUGGCGCGCUCUCAGUCCACUGAUCGUUGCGAGGCAGCCGAAAUAGCGCUCGUCAACGGAUUGCUCUCGAAAAAAUCAGCGAGAUGGAAGCAACAGUCCUGUUGGGCGAAAUAUAGCCGUGGUGUUUAUUCUACGUCUUCACGGUCCAAUUUGGGCAUAACGCGCGGUUAGGUCGCGACCCAAUAUGCCCGCUCGUCGUUUACUUGCCAGACCAUUCGUUCGCUCUCUCGCGUACAGUUGUCUUUUUUUUAUAUCCCGCUUGAUACUUAGAAAUAUUCAUCAGAUCAUCGUGAAUUCAAAAAAUGUUCAAGAACAUUUAGAGAAAUGUUUAUGAAUUAAGAAAUGAUAAAAACAUUAGAUUAUUUACGGAUCAAAAUAGAUUCUUGAAUUUUAAAAAUAUUCAAAAAGAAAUUGCAUGGAAUUUGAAUAUAGUUUUGAAUUCAAAAGUGAUUUUAAAACAUUAAUGAAUUUAUAAAACGUUCACACAUCUUAAAAUUUCAUGGAUUAUUAAAUGUUCACAAAUGUUUCAAAUUUUCAGUAACUAUGAAAAGGUUCAGGAAAUUUAAAAUAUUUUUUACUUUUAAAAAUUAAGGGAACAAAUAAAGCCAGCAAUAAAGAUAAAAAAAUUAGAAAAUAAAUUCAUCGGAAGCUGGUAUAAAAAUCCCAGAAGAGAGGGGUCCCAUCCACCUGAGAAGGAAAAAAGGUGGUGGCGCAGGCACAAGAAGCUAAUCCUCUCGAAAUAGGCUUUCGCUCCGCUUUAUAGAUAAAGCAAAGAUCCAUACAACCAACAUCCAGAUAAGCCAUAAAGGUGGCGGCUUGGGCAACAACACAAUAAUGCCCAAGGAGAAACAUAUGAGAAAAGAAAAAUAAGGCCACCUAGUGGCGGUCGACGGGCGAAGCUAGGAUGACGAAAUCGGACGUGUUGAAUCCACGAGCGCAUCCAGCAUGGUGUCUAGACUCUCGCGGUCGUGCUGCCUAGCAAGUGGGUGCCAUUACUGCAGAAAAGUAAGGAAUUCAAACAAAGAGUCAGAUGCCUGCCUCGGGAACACCUUCUUAAUCACCAUUUUAUUUCUUGUCGUCCAAAGAGUCCAUGACAUGGCCGCAAAGAUCAGCCACAAUGUGCGGCGGUGUCGUCCUAGCAAGGUAGCCCUGGCCUGGAGGAAGUCCACGAGAUCCAGGGCCUCCCAGUCGGGCCCUAGUGCCUCAUGAACGAACUGCCAAAGGACCCGAGCCAUCAUGCACAAGAAUAUAAUAUGGGCCAUAGUCUUCGCGACCCUGCAUAAAGGGCAAAGUUCAUCACCCGGCCCCUGUCGUUUGAGAACCUCGAUUCCCGAAGGGAGGCAAUCUCUAAGAAGCUGCCAAAUGAAAAUCUUUAUCUUCAAGGGCAUGGGGGCCUUCCACAAGUUAGAUAGCCAAGGGAUGACGGGGAGGCGGCCUAGAGCCUUGUAUGCGGAUUUGACGGGAAACUCACCCGAAGGUGAGAGCCGCCAUGAUAUACUGUCCGGAUAGUCUGACAACACUGGUGGCAGGGCUGCCAACACAAGAAGCUAAUCCAGCCAGGCCAUCAAUGACAUCUCGAACAACUGCCCAAUAUUACGGCAUAAUUGUUUAAUUGGACUUUUGAACCAAAAAAACCUUUCCAACAAUUGCCCUUAUUAAAAAAAUACAAGAUGUUUUUGGGCAGCCCAAAAAGGGCAGGGCCGACUGCACACCCGGGCUGCUCCCGCAAGCCCAAAAAUGAGUCGUCCGCAGGCCCAACCGUCACACCCAAAAACUUCCCGCAGCCACAAACCCUCCCAUGUCGCCGCCGCUUCACCGGAUCCGGCUGCCAUUGCCUUCACUGCACCACCCCGCCGCUCGUAUCCGUUGUUCCUCUACUCCAGUCGGCUGCACCGCCACCGCCCAGCCGCCACAUCUCCCCAUUUUACUGUCGUCACACCGUGCCACACCGUUGAGUCCAUCUUCCACUGUCGAUGAUGCCACCGCAACACGCGAAGAGCCAAUCCGGCUAUCGCGGCGUUCGGGCAGGGAAAUCUGGCCGGUUUAGCAUCGAGUUUCAAUGCGACGGCUGAUGGUAUUGGCUUGGCACCCUCGCGACGGCAGAGAUCGCCGCGCGCGCCUAUGGCAUCUCCGUGUGGAGGCUCGAUCGGCCUUGACAUGAGCUCAACUUCCCGAAGAUUGAGACACAUGUGGAUGCAUAUUUCAUCGGCUCGAUGGCAACCAUUGCGUCCCGCUCGACGAUGAGGGAGACCUGCAACGUCCUCGAGCAUAGGGACACUCAGGAGAACGAUGAGGUGGCUAUGGCGAGUUCGUGAGGGAAAACCCACACCUCAUGCAGGCGGAUUUCUUCUAGAAGAUGGACAAUGAGCGCAAGAAGAUGGAACGCAUGACAGAGGAUGACGCAGGGCCUUCAUGGGUGAUGAAUAUGCUGUCCGGCGACGAGGGUUUCGACAUUGACUGAGAGGGCCUUGCGCAUGAGAGUGAUGAGUAGUUGUCUACUGUUUGUAGUGUCGGUAGUGUACUAUGUUUAAAAGUUCGAAUGUUUGCAUCUUUGCAUAUUUCAAACUAUUUGGAAGUUUGCAAGUCUGAAUGUUUUGAUGUUUGAAUGUGUGAACAUUUGAAGUUUUAUUCACAACAAUGUGAACAUUUGAAGAUUGCCAUGAUGUGCAUGCAAUAUGCUCAAGUAGUUUGGAUGUUUUAGCAUGUUUUGAGUGCCCUAAAAUAGGGCAACAUGUUUCUGCAAAGAAAGAAUGAAUAAGAACAAUUUUGAGUGCUAUAAAAUUACUUUUUAGUAUCCUAAAUUAGACUCCAAUAGUUUUUUCCUCCUUAAAUAUGACAGUUCUUGAAGAUUAGACAUGGUUCUGUGUAACAAGAGCGAAAUAGAAAAUUGAGAAUGGGCUGACAGUGAGAGGUAAGAGCAUCUCUACUCUAGCCGAUCCCCUAAAUCCGGUUAGAGGAGUAAAACAAAUUUCGGUUUUACUUCUCUGACCGGCACCUAGCUGAUCCCCUGAAGUCUAUAGUGGAGUAAAAAAUUACUCCUCGGCUCCGCCGACGCCUAAUUAUACUCGGCCUCAACCCGGCCGGGUAAAAUUUGUGGCCUAUUUUCCGUGCCCCUCCCCCCUCUGCAUCGUCGCGGCGCACCUGUCGGCGACUAACCACCACCUCUGCCGCUACCUCGCUGCCUCCCUUGGCCCUCGCCGUCAUUCUGUUGUUGUCCGAGCCAUUCGAUGGCCAUCGCCAAUGCUGGAGUCGAGCGAAAACGCCGCAGCCGCGUCCACCAUUUCGCUAGGAACCACCUCGGAUCCUCUUUCUCGUUGGUUGGACGACAUCUCACCGGCAUUGCGAACCUUUGCCGAUCUUUCCCACUCCUCAGCGCAUGCUCAUUUGAGCUCCAUGUUGCAGGUCGGCCGAUACUUCUCCACCGCCUUGCAAAAGUUCGACGAUUUGCCUAGGUGUUUUUUUUGUUAUUUUGUCUCAUUUUUUUUGGCCGAGUUGAACUUACUGAGUCGUUUGAAUUGAAGAUGAAGAGGCUCGGAGAUAUGAUCUUCGAGGACUCAUCGUCAUCGGAGGAGGAAGAAGAUGGCGAUGGCUAUGAAAUUGUCCUCCACAUGAUUUUCAAUGAUGAUAUUCGGCGGUCGAAAAGAGAAUCGCAGUUUGGCCGGAUACAACUCAACCGUGAUCGAGCGGAGGUCCGGGCCAACAUUAUGAGAGUUUAUUUUGACCCUAAUCCGACCUAUCCGAGGAAGUAUUUUGCCGCCACUUUCAGAUGCAAACAAGUCUUUUUCUCACCAUUUCACAAGCCGUGGAGAAGUAUGACGGUUGGUUCAAGCUUUGAAGGAAUGCAUGCGGAGAGAUAAGCGAGAGCCCUUUGAUAAAGUGCAUUGCGGUUGUUCGAGUUCUUUGCAUAUGGGUGUUCGGCCGAUGCAAUUGACGACUAUGCCUGCAUUGGGAAACACACAAUCUUGAAGGCCAUUCGAAGGUACACGAAAGCAGUGAUUGAUGUCUUUGUGCUGGAGUACUUGAGGGCACCCAACGAGGAAGAAACCCAGAGGCUUAUGAUAGAGAGUGGAGCAAGAGGAUUGCCUGGGAUGCGUGGAUUAGUAGACUGUAUGCGCUGGACCUGGAAAAAUUGUCCUAUAGGAUGAAAAGGUCAGUAUAAAUGCCACUGCAACAAUCCCACGAUCAUUCUUGAGGCUAUUGCAUCAGAGGAUCUAUGGAUUUGUUAUUCAUUCUUUGGAUUGCCUAGCUCACACAAUGAACUGAAUGUGCUUUUAAGAUCACCACUGUUUGCUAGGCUUGUUGCGGGACAUGCUCCUCCUUGCAACUCUACGUCAAUGGUCAUGAGUACACGAUAGACUACUACCUUGCGGAUGUCAUCUAUCCUUCAUGGGCCACAUUUGUCAAAACAAUUCCGCACCAAAAGGUAACAAAAGUUCUUACUUUGCAACACAUCAAAAAUCUACUACUCCCCCCGUUUCUAAAUAUAAACCUUUUUAAAUAUUUCAAUGUGGACAACAUAUGGAUGUAUAUAGACAUAUUUUAUAGUGUAGGUUCACUCAUUUUGCUUCGUAUGUAGUCCGUAUUGGAAUCUCUAAAAAAGCUUAUAUUUAGGAACGGAGGGAGUAGAAAGGAUGUGGAGAGAGCUUUUGUGUGCUUCAGGAAGCGCUUUCCAAUCGUUCGUGUCCCUACCAAGUAUUAGAACUCCAAGGUUCUAUGGCAAAUCUGACUUGUUGUACCAUUUUACAUAACAUGAUCAUUGAAGAUGAGAGAGGAAUGCCCAUCACUAUUGAGAAUCCUGUUAAGCAGAACACGAUCGAAAAAAAAAAGGCGUUACUUGAAGCGCAACGGAGGAUUGAGAACCUAGAAGUUAAUAACCAGCUCGACCAUGAUCUUGUUGAGCAUCGGUGUCAUCUCCAUAGCACUUCGUAGUCGUGCUAUCAUGCUAUGUACUUUAUUUGGACCAUUCGGUGUGUUUGAAUUUGAAUAAUUUGAUUUCUAAACUAUGAAUGUGUAAUAUUUAUGAAUUGUGUGAAACUUAUUUAUUAUCUUUAGUUUUUAUAUGUGUGCUAAUAUGUAGUCAAGUUUAUUUCGAUGGCUGAAAAUGAAAAGAAUUUGACAAACAUAGAAAUUUACUCCACUAAUUUUAGAAUUUCGGUUAGGUCUGACAAAAAAUUAGUGGAUCAAAUUUGCUCCACUGUAGCUAACUCGACGUUUAUUCCUCUAUUAUUUUUUAGGGAUCUGACCGGAGAUAGUAUAAGAGCACGGAAUGAGAGGAGAAGCUUCUCCAAAUUUAUAGCCACCAAUCGACGAUAGAAACCGGUGGCCGGCGUGGUAUUGCAGUGUCAGUACGGGUUGACAUCCUCUGCAGUAUUGUACGGUAAUGUAGUGCGGAUGACACGUAGGACCGGGCCCACAUGUUAGUGAAUGUACUGUACCGUACAGUACUGCAGAGGAUCCCAACCAUGUCGGUACACCGUCCAAAAACCAUCCUGGCACCUGUUAAUCAAUUGGUAAGGCACCUGUUGAACACGCGUACCAUCCAAACCCAGCUGCUGCUCCUGCUCGUCUCAAACAACGGGAGGUGUUCAUGCUCUAUGGGCGCCCAGUGCGCGUGGGACGAGCACGACGUCGACACUCUCGCUUGCUUUGGCAGUCAACGCAACACGGCCUUUUGCUUCGAGGUCUUUCCAGAGCGCGCGCACCGCCGUCCACGCCGUCCCCGCGUAUUAAAAACUCGCCGCCGCCGUUGCUGUCAAAACCGUGGUGCGACGCGGCGAGACCAGCCAACACCACAGUUAGCAUGAACCCAACAUAUUCCCGUGGGCAAAACAAAUACGGUAGUAGAAGCUGCGCCAGAUAUAAAUAGGUGCCAACACAUCUUUACAUUUCCUCAAACCAACCGAGAUCACAUCACACAACACACAACAGACGACACAAAAACUCCUGAAACUAGCGUCGGUACGCACCGAGAGCUUCUUCUGAAGAUGAGCGUGGAGAUCCUGGACGGGAAGACGGUGCAGAGCUUCGUGGAGGACGAGUGCGCCUUCAACGCCUCCGUCGACGGCCGCUUCGCGGCGCUCGAUGCCAACCACGACGGUCUCCUCUCCUACACCGAGAUGGCCGGGGAGAUCAUGAGCCUCCGGGUUCUCGAGAAGCACUUCGGUGUGGACGAGGCCGGCGCCGUUGGUCCCGACGAGCUCGCGAAGCUCUACCGCGGUCUGUUCGCGCGCUUUGACCGCGACGGAGACGGCGCGGUGGACCGCGACGAGUUCCGGGCAGAGAUGAAGGAGGUCAUGCUCGCCGUGGCCAACGGGCUCGGCUUCAUGCCGGUGCAGAUGGUGGUCGAGGAGGGGAGCUUUCUCAAGGUGGCCGUGGACCGGGAGCUGGCCAGAGCUGCCUGACCGAUUUUGUUUGUACUACUACGUGUGUAUGCGAGUAAGGAUAAUGUUUUUGUUUUAUCUUCAAAACGAGAAGUGAGUACUAAUGCUGAAGCCUCUAUGGCAUUCAGCUAUAUCUACGUGAUUGUGUAUUUCAUAGACGAAUUUGUCCCAUUAAUAAGUUAAUUUGUCGAUUAAUCCCUACUAAUAGGGCCACCGAUAGCCAAUAAAAUAGAUAAAUCAUCCGAUUAAUUGAUAAAUUAAAGAUUAAUUUAUCGAUUAGCUUAUUAAUCUUCUGCUCGCCCGCCAGCCCAGAAGCUAGCAAUUAAUGAUUUCCUCACCAAUGGGUUUAUGUACUAUUUUCAUACGAGUUAAAGGUCGGGCAUAUGAUAAAAUAACGACUGCUCAAUAAUUAGUUAGAACCAUGACAUUUGUUCCAAAGGGCAUCUCCAAUGUUCAUUCUCAAAUCGUCUGCAUUUUAUUGGGACCUAUUUUACCAUUUAAUGCGGUAUUUCAUCUAUCUGCCAACCGGUAUGUCCGCUUUUCUACAAAACGAGGAUCAUGAGGCUUAGUGAACAUUCGGACCGUUCCCACGUCCGCGACAGACAACUCGAACCCACCCAAAACUCUCUCCCUUGCCCGCGCCCCUUCUAAAGCGAAGCAGUUGCCAUGUAGCGCCGCAUACAUGCCGACACAGAGCGGACGCGACUUCUCACUGGUGUCGGCACUGAAGCGGUGUGUCCACCGAGAGUGCCGCCCAUGCCGCAUCCCGGUGCCCGCACCUAUUCAAUACCGAAUAGAUGUGACUAGACGGGAUGGAUAUUUGCCGCAUUUAAAUGGGUUGCCCGCCAUUCGCCGUCCGUCAUUAAACAUACACGCCAGCGGAGAAACCAACUUCGGCAUGCGCAUUGACACACCGCGCCGCUUGGCAUGGUUGGCGUCCGCUAUUUAAAUGAGGCCUCGCCCAGCACAAAGCAUACUACACCUAGUCUUGAUUCACAUCCUCCACUGUGCACCACUUCUGCCAUGACCACAUGGUCUAGCGCGUUAUGGGAGAGCCUUUCCACGAAGUAGAAGCACAAGCUGGCUACCCUUGCGGGCAACUGGCAGAGCCAUUGUUUGAGGCGGACAGAGGCUGGCAUGUGGGCCGGCUCCCCGAAGUUCUUCGACGACGACCCGGCGAUGGAAAUGGCCUCCGACGAUGACUCGGCGCCCCUGCGUGCGCCGUUCCACACCGACUUGACCAUGGAGCAAGCGCAUGCACAUUUCAUCGCCGCCAUGGCGAAGGAGCAGCUGGAAUCAUAACUAGUGUCGGUGUUCCGGCCGGCGUAACCGGAUCCGCUGCCUCGACAGAGAGCUCACCAAGAUUGGCAAGGAAUGGCGCUAAGCCACAUCUCCACCAAUGUUGGCUGGGCCAAGGCCGUUGCCGGCAGGGCACCACGGCCGGGGUCGGCAACGGCUCCUCCGCGAGCGCCAGGCCGCGACCGGGCAAGGCUUUCACGGCCCGCGUCCUUCCAUAGCUAGAAGAACGACGAUGGUAACACGAACGACGACGACGGAACGACUGCCAGGGCAGCCAAGUGUACGAUGUUGUUCGCCCGCUACAAGUUAGACACCUAGGGUGUUUUUCUUUAUUUUUUGUUAUACGAGUUUUUAUGUAAAUUAUUAUGUCUGAACUUUGCUGAAAUCCGUCAUGUUUGAUAAAAAAAUUCAAGUUCGUGUCACCAUCGUACGGAGCUGUUCAAGAGGAUUCGCCCAUCACGUGUUUGACGAAAUGUCGGGGCGAACAUGUCAAAACAUGCGCCCGUUCUUGUUGGACGCAUCGGUCGACCCAAAUCAAAAGAAAAACACGCACAGGCGGACGAGUGAUCCAAACAGAUAAAAAACAAACAAAAUGGGUGUCCGUUUGGUUAGAGUUGCUCUAACACUCGCAGGAUCCAGAUCCCACAGCUGCAGCAAGCUUGUAAACCGUGUGAGGACAAGAAACAGGGGCCUUGAGCUAGGGGACGACUCGUAGUCGGCCGUCGUUACUCUUUUGACCGAUGACCGAUCAGUGUCAAUGUCAUGGCCUUUGCUUGGAGGGCUUUUCCAUGUCGUCGCACCUACGCAUAUUCCGCGCGUAUUAAAAUUCUUGGGCACGAGACGCCGGCGUUGCUGUCAAACACCCUUCUGCGACGCGGCCGACACCAGCCAACACCACACGAUUCUGUGGGGAAGACAAAAUAGUAUACUACUUUGGAGAGACUUUGCUUACAUCUGAAGCGAGUCUCGUCAACCUCGGCGCAUCCCACAGCGAUAUUGCCGACCACCGUAAACCAAAUGAAGCAUCGCCAGCUAUAAAUACCGGCCAAGGGCCAACACCUCUUCCCCACGUCCACAAACCGGCCGAGAUCACAACACACAACACGAGAAACUCCCGAAACUCCAACAUCAGUUGCAGCAGAGAGAUUUCUUUUCAAGAUGAGCGUGGAGAUCCUGGACGGGAAGACGGUGCAGAGCUUCGUGGAGGACGAGGGCGCCUUCAACGCCUCCGUCGACGGCCGCUUCGCGGCGCUCGACGCCAACCACGACGGCCUGCUCUCCUACGCCGAGAUGGCCGGGGAGCUCAUGAGCCUCCGGGUCCUGGAGAAGCACUUCGGCGUCGACGAGGCCGGCGCCCUGGGGCCCGACGAGCUCGCGGGGCUCUACCGCGGCCUGUUCGCGCGCUUCGACCACGACGGCAACGGCACCGUGGACCGCGACGAGUUCAGGGCUGAGAUGAAGGAGGUCAUGCUCGCCGUGGCCAGCGGGCUCGGGUUCGUGCCGGUGCAGAUGGUGGUCGAGGAGGGAAGCUUUCUCAAGGUGGCCGUGGACAGGGAGCUGGCCAGAGCUGACUGACCGAUUUUUGCUUCUGCUUGUACGAGCACGUGUAUGCUGCAGAGUAGUAGUAUGAACCAGGCAUCGUUAAGUCAGUAAUAAUCGUUAAGUGAGCUAAUGUUUUAAAUUUUUCUUUCGAGACGAGGACUACAAAUGCGGAAUGCCAUUAGGCUAUGUAUAAGUGUGCUUUCGCAAAAAAAAGAGGCUAUGUAUAAAUGUGAUUGCAUAUUUACAGUGGCAGUUAUGAUUAUUACUUCUUUUUUUUUGCGAGGGUAAAAGAGAUUUUAUUCCAUAAUCACAGGGUUACAGUCAAGAGGCAAAAGUUCCUCCACGCAAGGUGGACCUCUGCCUAGCCAUACAGCAGUGGUACUCUCCGUACGACUAUAUGAAGCCAAUCGAUCUGCUACCCUGUUUUGUUCACGCUUAAUUUUCGACGGAAUAAACUCUCUUACACCCAUGUGCCUCUGAAUCUCAGCUAUCAAAUGUCCAUAAGCGGAGUAUCGAAGGUUGUCCCCUUUCAACGCCAUGAAAGCUUCUGACGAAUCGGUUUGGACAAUAAUAGGCCCCUCCCCGUGCUCAAUAGCAAGUGCCAUCCCUUGCAUUAAAGCAUGUAGUUCCGCUUCUAGGGCGUCAUUGUAGUUAAAGAUACAUCGAUAUGCCGCAAAGAUGAUGCUACCGUCGCUUCGUCUCAGCACCAUCCCCGCUGCUGCUGAACCAUCUGCCUCCGAGAACGCACCGUCGACCGACAGUGCGGUUUGGCCAAGGGAGGGUUUUGGCCAUGGCAGCACCGGUGCAUGUAUUCGCGCCUUAGCUGGCGCAGCGACGAACGUAGACAUCUUGCCCUUGAUUAUAUCUUCUGUAGUAUACCUUCUGGCCAGUUGAAGUGAGGACAUGUAGCUCUGUAGAUAAUCUGCCGUCGCCGCGGUCGUUGGAAUAGACUUAGCGUGGGUGAGGUCAUUGCGUAGCGACCAAAUCCUCCACAAGAGCAUGAUUGUCCAGUCCCGCAUAGCAUCAUCGCAGUUCAUCAGUAUGUUCAGGAGCCAAUCCUUCCCGGUGUCCUUCAACAUCUGAUUGUCUGGCAAAGGCCAAACCUGGCGCAUAUGAUUCCAUAGCAAUUGCGUGUGAUCACAUGUGAUGAGAGCAUGGAAACUUGAUUCCUUCUCUAAGCCACACAACGGACAAGUGUCCCUAGUAGCUAUGUGUCUGUGUUUCUUGUAUGCGUUGGUGGCUAAAGCCCCAGCCACCACUUUCCAGGCUAGAAUACGCAUCUUGAGGGGCAACUUGGCAUGCCAAAUACGUCGCCAAAUCACCUGAUGUCCUCCCGGAGCCGAACUAGAUGACCCCAGGCCUGCUUGCCCAUCGGAUGUAGCGAGCCGGUAAGCGCUUCUAACCGUAAAACUGCCACUUCUUUCUGGGAACCAAGCCAGAAAAUCUUGCUCUCCUCUAGGUGAUGUCCGGAUCUUUAGAAUUUCAGCGACGUCCAUAUCCCAAAAGUACUGCCUUAACCUGUUUACAUUCCAUGCUCCAGACUCCUCCAAGAAAUCAGCCACCCAGUUGUAUCUGCAAUUUCUUUUUGGGGUUAUUGGUUUGAAGUCGUUCCUCCUGGGAAUCCACGGGUCCCUCCAAGUUCUGAUCAUAGUGCCAUUUCCAACUCUCCAAAUCAAGCCUUUCUUCAACAGUUCGAGGCCAUGAGUGAUUCCUUUCCAAACCGUAGAAGAGCUGGACGGGAACACCGUGUCCAAAAGAUUACUGUUGGGGUAGUAUUUCGUCCGAAGCAGGCGAGCACAUAGGCUGUCUGGGGUAUGUAGUAAUCUCCAAGCUUGCUUUGCAAGAAACGCUUGGUUGAAGGCGCGCAUGUCCCGGAACCCCAUGCCCCCCAUAUCCUUAGGUAAGGUCAUCUUCUCCCAGCUUAGCCAGGCCAUUUUCCUCUUACCAUUCUCCACUCCCCACCAAUACUGCCUCAUCAACCUUGUUAGGUCAUCACACACGGAUACCGGCAGGCGGAAGAUACUCAUCACGUAGGUUGGAAUUGCUUGUGCCACCGCCUUAAUCAGUAUUUCCUUAUUUCCAACUGACACAUACUGUUCACUCCAAUCCACUAAUCUUUUCCGUAGCCUAUCUUGCACGGUCUCAAAUUGCCCUUUAUGUACUCUACCUUCCGGUAUAGGUAAGCCCAAGUACUUAGGUUCAAAAACUUGUUGUGUCACUUCCAGAAUACCCUUCAUCUCUUCCGCCACCGCCUUGGGACAGUUGUCCGAAAAAAGGAUGGAACACUUUUCAGGGUUAAUAAGUUGACCCGUCGCUCUGGCAUAAGUGUUCAACAAACCUUUCACAAUGGUAGCUUGGGGGCUUGAAGCUUCAAACAAUAGCAUAGUAUCAUCGGCGAACAAUAAAUGCGAGAUAACAGGAGCACCACGGCAGAUCGAAACCCCCUUCAACUCUCCCUCAUGCACCGACUUGGAUAACAAGGAGGACAGAGCGUCAGCUAUAAACAGGAAUAGAAAGGGAGACAGGGGGUCACCCUGCCUUAAUCCCCGAGAAGGAGAAAAUGACUCCAGUAGCUUUCCAUUAAAUUUAACCGAGUAUUUCACAGACUUCACACAGGCCAUAAUCCAUGUUAUCCACUCCAUCGAGAACCCCCAUUUUAUUAGGGCUUGCUCCAAGAAUUCCCAAUCUACACGGUCAUAUGCUUUCGAGAGAUCCAAUUUGUAAGCACAAGCAGCAGGACUGUUUGGUUUCAUAGUUAUGAUUAUUACUUCAAGGUUGGGCAUUUCAUUUGGUGGUUUGUCGUGCUCGAAGUUUUCCUGUUUCAGUUUUGUAAAACAUCAGGUAACUGAAAUUUUUCAUCGUGUCGGUCACUUCUCUGCUUCGCCCCAAGCGAGAAACGGGAAGGUAGUGGAUGGCCACAGACUAAACGGCGAGUGUGAGCCAUGAACGAGCGGGAGCCGGUGACGCCACGGCUAGUCGCAUAGUCGACGGUGGAGCGAGUCCAAAACUUGACUAGUGCAGGUUAGGGGUAUGAGUGUAAUCCUUGUGUAACACUUCUUUCCAACCUAACGAUUGAGCGCUCACACAUGUUGGCUCUGGAGGAGAAAGGAUGACUGCCACCAGGGCCGGGCCGGCAUAAUCCGGGCCCUAUGCGAAACUAAAAAUUGGGGCCCUAUUUCACAAAAAAAUGAACUAACGAGCAAUUAUAAUAUAUAUAUAUAUAUAUAUAUAUAUAUAUAUAUAUAUAUAUAGUGUUACUAUUCAUCAUCCAGGGUGCAUAAUAAGUUAUUCUUCACCUGACGUAAUUUUACAAUCAUUUCAUAAUUAAAUUACGUUUAGAAUUCAAAUAGUUAUAUUUCUAUUGAUUCACUACGUAAAAUUUGACAUAAGAAAAUAAAAAUAUAGAUCAUAAGACAAGAAAAUUUGUAGUUUAUGUGUAUUUUAGACUAUGUUUUUACGUUUGUAAUUUUACAUAACAUAAAAUAUUUUUUUACGGCGAUUAUAUAUUUUCUUACGAUCUCUUUUUACGUCGUAAAUAAGACAAAAUUUACGAAAUGUAAAAUUACGGUGCAUUGAUGAUAAAAUAGAGGGAGGGUGAGGAAUAACUAUUCCUCAACCAGGGUGACGAAUAGCGCGACCAUAUAUAUAAAUACUAUUCUGAUCACGGGAUCAGAAUAAUAUUCUGAUUACAACAUGAACUUUCCGAGUAACGCGCCUGACCUUUCCCGAGUAUUAGGUUGAACUUCAGCUAAAAGGUGUCCAAAUGGGGAUUGCGAUAUACCGUUGGAUAGCUAUGGACAUCAGUAUCAUGACCCAAGUUAAAUUUUUGGCAAAAUGUAAGCGGUUUAAGAGCAGUUUUGAAAACCGUUUUUUCUUCAUACAAAAAACGUGAAUCGUAUUUUCGAUCGCAUUUUUAAACCGUUUAUCGAAAUGAGGAAAAUAAUAUGGCGUUGAAAAGCUGCUGCAAAAUCGCUCCUUCCACAUGUUAAAAGUUUUCUCUAAUUCCCUACGGUUAAAGAGUAAUUCGGAAAAUCGUAAAAUUUUGUAAACCGAACACCCGAGUUCGUAUUUUUGACGCUAUUUCUAAACGACUAAUCCAAUUGAGGCAAAUAAUAUGGCGUUGGAAAGCUUAUGAAAAUGCGCUACUUUUGUAUGUUAAAAGUUUUUUCUAAUUUUGAAUGGUUUAAAACUAAUUUAGAAAAUGGUACAAGUUCCACCGAGUUCGUAUUUUCGAGCUAAUUUUUUAACCGUACGUCCAAAUGCAGCAAAUGAAUUGGAAAGUUUGAAGAAAUGCAAAACUUUUUUGUAUAUAUUGUUUCUUCUAAUUCAUUACGGUUUUAUGUCAGUUUUGAAAAUGGUUAAAAACGUAUUUUUACCGUAAUUUCUACAAACUUUAUCGGAAUGGGGCAAAUAAUAUACCGCUGAAAAGCUACGGGAAAUGCAAAACUUUUUCAUGUUGAUGAUUUUCUCUGAAUCCUGGCCGUUUUCAAGUAAUUUCGAAAAUGGCGAGAUCAUUCGUUCUGCCUUUAUCGCGAAACAGAUUCUUCGAAAAUGCACCGCGUGAAGAAUCUGAACUUCUCGGCAUGUCUACUUGAACUUCACUUUGUUUUUCACGUGUUUUUUUUGCUUGUAGCUCUCCAUCCACUCACCGGAAUUGAGCAAGUGAUAUACCAGUGAAAAGCUGCUGUAAACACGUAACUUUUCCGUGUUAAUCAAUUUUUCAUACUCGCGACGAUUUUAAAAGUUUUUCAUCUGAUAUUAAUUCAGUGUAGUAGUUGAACUUCAAUGAUGUUUUCACGUUGAACUUCUGUGACAUAUUUUCGUUUAUAAUUUUCUCAUUCAUUCGUUAGUGUUACACAAAUGAUACUCCUUUUGUACAAACCCCUCUCACAAUAAUUUUUUUUAACUUUCUUUGACCAAGGAGUUGCACUUAUAACAACAAAACUUUUAGUCUUUGCUUUUUUAUUACUUUUUAAUACAAAAUGCACACCAUGUAGUACGUGAACUUCUUGCAGUUAUCAAUCAAACUUCUCUUGGUUACGUGAAAAUAUCUGAGUCUUUUAUAAAUAUUUAUCUGAAUUUCUUAAUCUUUUUUUAUAAAAUUUUGAAACACUUUAUUUUUAAAAGUUGAACUUCUUGUUUUUUAUUUUUGAACUUCUUGUUUCCAUUCUUUAAUAACGAAAAAAAUCCGAGUUUUCUAUAAUCAUCAAACUUCUCCAUCUUUUUAAUAUGGACUUCCUGAUUUUAUUUCUUAAUCUUCUUUCAUGAAAUUUUGAGGCCCUCUAUUAUUAAAAGUUGAACUUCAUGUUAUUUAAUUUUUGAUCUUUUUGUUUUCCAUUCUUUAAUACUGAGGGAAAUCAGAGUUUUUUAUAAUCAUCGAACUUCUCCAUCUUUUUAAUAUGGACUUCCUAGGUUUUUUCCAUAAUCUUUUUUUAUGAAAUUUUGAAGUGCUCUAUUUUUAAAAGUUGAACUUCUUGUUAUUUAAUUUUUGAACUUUGUAUUUCCAUUCUUUAGUAACGAGGAAAAUCUGAGUUUUCUAUAAUCAUCGAACUUCUUCAUCUUUUUAAAUUGGACUUCCUGGUUUAUUUUUUUAGUAACGGAAAAAAUCCUACUUUUUGAUAGACAUCGAGCCGCUGCAUUUUUAAAUUUUAACUUCUAGGUUUGUUUUUAGAGAGAAAAUCUUUGUUAUAAAAUUGUUUGAGAUGCUUUUUUUAAAUGACCUUCUUUGGAUUUGUAACAAGCAUUGAACCAGUUGCGCCGCACCAAUGACAUUAAAACUCAGAUUUUACAGACGAUUUCAAAAGUUUUUCAUCUGAAAUUCAUUCAGUGUAGUAGUUGAACUUCCUGCUGUUUUCACGUUGAACUUCUGUAACGUAUUGGCUUUUGCAAUUUUCUCAUCCAUUCGUCAGUGUUAUACAAAUGAUAUUUUUUUGUACAAACCUCUCACACAAUUAUUUUUUUAACUUUCUCCGAUCGAGGCCUUGAACUUAUAACAACAAAAAAUUUGGACCUUGACUUUUAAUUCAUUUUUCUCAUAUUAAACACAUACCAUUUUUAUAAUUUGAAUUUUUUUCUUUUUAAAAUUAAAUUGCUCCCAAAUAAUAACUGAUCUUCUUUGUGGAUUGAGAGAAUUAGUUUUAAAUGCAAAAAACAAUUUCUUUUUUGUGUUUUCAAACAUGGAAAUACAAGGUAAAAACUUUCUCGCAAGAAUUUUUAAACUUCCCCGGACGGAGCAUUUGAACUUCUUUCAACAAACCUUUUAAGAUUUUAUUUUUUCUAUACUUUUAUAUUCACCUUAAAUGCAUUCCUUGCAGUAAUUGAACUUCUCGUUGUUUUCAAUAUCAACUUCUGUCACAUUUUUGUGUAUAUGUCGAAUUACACGCAGUUGAAAGUCGGACGUCAUUUUUCUGCCAUUCCAAAACAUGUAAUUGGAGGUCGGACGUCCCGCAACAUAAAUUCUGAAUCGUGCACGGAGGUGCACGUGAACUUUUUGCAACAAAUCUGAGUUUUUUAUAUACUUUGAACUUCUCUGUUAUUUUAAUUUCAACUUCCUAGUCAUAUUCUUAUAAAGGAAAUAUGUUUUUAAAUAAGUAUCAAACGUUUUUUUUUGUAAAUUGAACUUCAUAGUUUUAUUUUUCUUAGAAACGGUAAUAAUUUGAGUUUUUUCCGUAUACAUCAAACUACUUCUCUAUUUUAAUUUGAACUUCGUCAUUUUUAUUUUUUAGAAACGGUAAAUUUUUGUGUUUAUAUUUUCUAGCUUUGUACAAAAGUAAUAUUCUUCUUUGGGGCGUAAACACGAACACUUGUGGUGCACACGAGCCGGCUAAAAACUAUGAGACUGUCUUGAUUUUGUGUGUGCACAUCACGCAUGUGCACUGGUUUAUGCAUGCACAACGCACACACACACCACUAGUAGAAUGCAUGCACUCACCACCAGCACACAAACAUAAAAGAACUAUUGGCAGCCACACAUUUUUAAAUGAAAAAAUAGUACGUAAUAAAAGAACUACAAGUUUCAUGUACUACAUGGUGUGUGUUUUUUGCGCCUGCAUAUACAGUUGAACUUCAGGCAUCAAAAUCACUUAGACAAUAGGAAUCGACGAUUCUAUCUGGAUACUAUACAACUACAUGGAACAACAUUGACCAAUUCCACCAGAACACGCAUGUGUAGAUUUGAACACUACAAACCACUAGACUAAUCCCUCCUUGCGUUGGCUACAAUUGACCCGGCUUCCAACAGGGUGUUGUGCCAGCGUUGACAGCUCACUAUCCUUGGCUCCUUGCCGUCGAGGUUGGCAGUCGCAGACAUGGUGGCCUAUGCAGUCAACCACCGCCGGACCGUGCACACAGAAUUUUCUGACCUAACAACACACAACGACUUGAACUUCUAUUUGUUUGGAUUUGGAAAAUCGUUUUUCUGAAUACAAUGAGGUUUGGAUGAAAUAGCACAUGAGUUCAGUUAGUUUCUGAACUUUUCUCAAGACAACAAGCUAAGAGCAGGCCAGGGGACCUAAUGAUCGCUUGCUGCUGCCACAGCGGGGUUUCAACUACAGACCUUCUAGAAUGUUAAAUAAUCCCGUACUGUAAUUUCAAGCAUUAUAAACUCAGAAGAUGCCUACAAUUCUCAGUUUGUGCCGAACCUAGGAGUCGAGGAGAUAACCACACAGUCGAGGAGAUAACCACACAGGACUAUUUAGAGGAGUGCAAGUGAAGCAACCUAUUUCUUCAGAAAAUCAACAAACUAAACUUCAGAAAAUAAAAAAAUUGAACUUCACAGGGCCCUGCAAAAAAUACACGGUCAUGAUCAACUUUAAAAACUUCAGAGAAUAGACAAACUGAACUUCUAGAGGGCCAGAUGCUGACCUUUCUCUUUGUAGCGUCGUUGGUGACCUGUAAUUGAAGGUCGGGGAUGAAAGGUAUCACCUCAACGAGUUCAGGCAGCCGGUGCAGGCCAUCCAUGGAGGAGGGGCAAGCUGCAGCGAGGAGGGACCGCGCCGGCCACGGAGCUGGAGGUCCGUCGGCCGCAGGGAAGGAGCGCGCCGGUCGCAGGGAGGGAGGGCGCUGGCCGCGGAGGAGGAUGGGUGUCGACCACGGGCUGGGAGAGCGCCGGCCGCGGAGGAGGGGCGCCGGCGACGCGGGUCGUGGGGGUGGUGAUGGCACGCUUUUGUUAUCGGGGCCAGGCGGCGUUGCGGUUGGAGGUUGGGGCUCAGGCGGCGGCGCCAUUGGUGGUCUGGGCUCGGCGGUGGCGCGCUUGAAGGUCGGGACUCCAGUGGCAGCGCGGUUGGUGGUCCGGGCUCCGGCGGACGCGUGGUUGGUGACUCGGCUCCGCGGCGGCGCGGUUGGAGGUUGGCGCGAGGGCGGCGGCGAUGGCGGCGCGGGGCGGUGGAGUGCGGUGGGUGGGUGGCCUGGUGCGGCGGCAGAGGUGGAUCGGGGUUGAGGAGAAAGAUGCGGGAGGUGGGGGCAGUUUCUUUUUUUUCCACGAGGUGGGGCCAGUUUCUUGGUUUCGAAGAAUCUCCGGAACAACUCGAUCGGCCCUAUAUAUAUAUACACGCGGUGUGAUCCAAAUAACUAUUCUGAUCCCAGGAUCAGAAUAGUGUCACUCCGAAUUCCGACCGAUCUAAGGACCAGGGACGCAGGGACCGAGGCAGAGCCAUGAGGGACAAGGCGUCGGCGUGGAGGACUCGAGGUCUCCAGCCUCCAGGCGACGAGCGGACAAGAAGUUCUUUUCCUGUAGCCGCCACGAUCCCGAUCCCUGACUCCCUGUAGAGAUCUAGUUCUUUUUUUAGAUAAUGCAGCGAUCGACUCUGAUCAAGUAGGAGGAGUCGUGCUCGAUGCCUCGUCGCUCUGGCUUGAUGGCCGAUGGGCCUAGUCGCUCGGCCCAGUAGGCAGCAGCGCUGAAUUAUUACUAGACCUAUAUGAAAAAUAUGGGGCCCUCCAGAAUUUUGGGCCCUGUGCGGGCCGCACUUUCUGCACCACUGGGGGCCCGGCCCUGACUGCCACUUGGGGUAUGAGUGUAAUCCCGUUCAACCUAACAAUCGAGCGCUCACACACGAGGUCCUCAACUGCGAAUGAAGCACUAGAGACUAAAACAUGUUGGCUCUGGAGGAGAAAGGAUGACUGCCACUGACAGGGAAUGCCAUCACCAGAAAACUAAGGGCCCCAUCACCACACAUCCAUCCAAACCAACCUCUGAAGAAGGCCACAACCUCCUCGCCUGGAUCGAAAGGCGUUGCACCAUAAAAAGGUGGAUAUGCUCCCCCAAGAACAGUAAUGUUUGUCGCCAAAAGAUGGACACACAAAGAGGGUUAGCGCACACCCGACGAUCCGACGCUGGCUUUUCUCAAGCAGAACAACGCCGCUGCCCACAGUCAUCCCAUUGAGAAGGGGAAGCUUCAAACUAGGAUGACGAAGGACAGAACUGCCAACCCCACCCGCACCCAACAACACCCAUCGACCACAAAGCACAAAGCUCCCAGUUUGGCACCUUCAAGGAGGAUACAACACCAAGACCAUCACCGCUGCCCAACAAAUUUAGGCUUCCACAGGGAUAACUAGGGGGAACCCUGGGGUGAGGCCAGUUUGCGCCUUCGUCAUGGUUUGGUGGUUUCCUUCGGUGUUCGUGGAACAGUAGUUGGUGUGGUGCAUGGAGUGGGGGUCUUGGGUGCCGGGGCGGCAUCCCUGGGUGGCUGUCUGAUACGUCCCAAAUGUAUCUAUACUUUUGAUUGUCAUUCUAAUGAAAGUUUAUUUUAAGCUUGUCAAACCUGAGUGUAAACCAAGAUAUUUCAUAAAAACCGAGAUAUUCGCUCUGAUAUUGCCACCAAUGACUAAUGAAUGCAAAGGAUUCCAAAUAUCCUAUAUUUAGUUUGUUUCCACAAGAAAUGGACUAUUUAUGAACGAAAUCAAGGCAAUACAUGGAAAUGAGUAAACAUGAGAUAGAGGAGAUCAAGUGGGAGCCAGAGCAAAAGAUGAUGUUCCAUACGCCCGCACACACUUGUAUGCACUAUUGUAUGGCCUGCCAGGGGCACCCUCUGAUCCACCACUACAAAUACCGUGAAGAGGUCAAUGCCAAAAACAACAUCUUUCGCCGUCGAAAGCUCCAUCUUCAUUAUCCACAACAACCCUAGACGCCGUCAUUUCAUACCUACAUCUCCAUAGCCGCCAUCAUCACCACCACCGUAGUACUCAGCCAGCUAGCCAUACUUUGUAAUGGAUAUCACAUCUGGCAUCCAUUGUAAGACAUAUUAUGAAUCAAUCAAUCUUCAUGAUGUGUUCUUUAAUGAUUUGUUCAUGUGAUCUGAUCUUCAUGUGUGAAUAGUUCCAUAAGGUCAUGGGUUGUAAGACAUAUUAUUCUCAGUGUAGAUUCUCUGAUGUCCAAGUAAGUGAAUUUCAUACCUGUGAGUGUCUGCAUUCCAUAACCCGACUGAAAACCGAUACCAAAUAGUUACAAAACAUAUCUUUGUGUGGAUAAUUGUUUACAGUUUUGAUAUUUCAAUUUCGUGCUAACCCUGAUCAGUUGGACCUGAAAUACCAACCGUACAUAGUACGCCAUUCCCAACGUGGAGCGCCUUUAUUUUCAUAUUGAACUCCGCUAGGAAGAAAAAGUUAGACCGUAGCCUUGUCGAAAACCUACUUUUUGAAAAUAUCUUCCCCUACUAACUCGCCACCUCCUCAUGUUAAGCUACUCACUCGAAGUUUUGUUGGUCAUUUAUUAUUUUUUAUCCUCUUUGAUCAAGUUAAUAAGAAGGAAAACCUUGAUCUUCAAUAUACUUCACACCCACACAAUCUCUGUUUGAAACUAACACUCCAUUUCCAGAUAGCUAGCGAUCGCUCAAUAAUGAUACCCCGCCAAUAGGAUAGUCCCCUUGGGGUAAUAAAGAAAUUGACAAAAAAGGAUUUUGAAGUAACUCGGUCUAAUUAAAAAAAUUAAUCAUGAUUUUCUCUCGAUUAUGAUAUUACAUCCAAGGCCGGCCCUGGGGAGGGGCAGGGGGGCAGCCGCCCCGGGCCCCCAAAGUUCAAGGGCCCCUCCCCAGGUAUGUAGCAUAGCCUUUUUUUAGCCUAUAUGUCCAGCGAGGUAGAUAUCGGGCUGGCUGUCUGGGCCUCACGCAGCAUGCAGCACGCACGCAGCAGGCCAGCGAGGCACAGCGGCAACAAUCGUUUCUUUCCCUUUUUUCACGUAAAAAUAGGAGUGAUUGAUGAUUGAUCCCUUCCUAUUUCAUCUCGCAUUGACGCAGCGAUUUCUAGCAGACGCCGAGGCUUCGGUUGUUCGCGAUUGCGUGCUCAACGCUUUUUUCUCCUUUUCUCCUAAUCCUAAUUUAGAUCAUCAGUCCCUUGCCGCCGAUUUCAAUUCGCCGGGGGCCCGUUGUAAUCCGGCUCUGGUUUCCAUCCAUCGCUGAUUCGGCCAUCCGAGGUAUAACAUGUAUUCUUAUUAUGGUUCUGUAGAUGCAUAGCCGGCCCAGUUGCACUGUUCAACAAUUAAUGAAUUUUUUCAGCGUUGUGUCAUCAUAUCAUCUAGAAGAAAAUAUGCAUCUGCUAGCGACAAAGGAAAAGAAAGAAAAUACAAGGUAUAACGCAAUAUUUUAAGAUGUAUAUAUAGAGAUGAGGGGUUUUCUGCUAGUUUGAUAAUUGCCAAAGUUAUUACAAAUGAAAUGAGUGUAGGUCCAUUGUUUCCGGUAGGACGUCGUGUUACAAGAAGAAACAAUUUGACGAAAGUGAUUGUCGAGAAGAAAUUCUAGAAUUUGAGAAGGCUGUCCAAGUUAAAUAUUUUUUGUUUUGGUUGAUAGCGAUCACUUCUUUGAAGGGUAGAUUGAAAGAACCUAUGGUGUUUAAAGAUAUAUUUGGAAUUUUUUUAGCUCGGAAACUAUGAAGUCAUUGAUGAUAAUGAACUUGAAGAGUGGUGCACAAAAUUUGCAGAAACUUUCUCUCUUCAUAGUUCAUGUGAUGUUGAGGUAUAUGAUCUUAUUUCUGAAUUGAAAAUUGCGGAUUCACUUUGCCAGAUGACUGUAAUAUAUGCUAUGGAGAUUUCGAGAAUGUCAAGAGAAGUUGGUUGUUAUCCUGAUAUCUUCAUUGCUUAUCACAUCUUUAUUUACUAUACCUGUGACUAUCGUAUAGGCCGGAAGAAGUUUUUUGAAGUUGAAAUUAUUGAGGAACUAUCCGAGGUCACCAAUGAGGCAAUGACCCAAGAGAGGUUAUAUGGUUUGGCAACAUAAUGGAAUCGAGAAGAAAAUAUUGGAUGAUAUUGGCAACGACCCCAUCAUAAGUGAUUUUGCAUCAAGGAAUGUUAGAAUUAUUAUUAAAGGUAAUAUUUAUAAAGUACUUGAUAUGCAUACUAGUAUUGGAUGCACUUAAGUGCUUGAUAAUACAUGUACCUAUAUUCAAUGUUAUUGUUAAGAUGUCUAUAUUAAGGGCCCCGACUUUUACUCUCGCCCCGGGCCCCCAAAAUCUCAGGACCGGCCCUGAUUACAUCCCUCUGUCACAAUAGAAGUCGAAAAUGGAGGCGACUUCACUAUACUUGCUUAGGUAAAGCAAUUCUAGAUCCUCGAUCAAACUAGCUUUUCCCAGCAAAAAAAACGUAUCCGCAGAUAGGGAUGGAAAUGGAGCCGAAACUUUCCGCUUUUCCAGCAAAAAAUAGAAAUGGAGAGGAAAAAUGGAAGUGGAAAUGGAAAUUUGCAAAACAAAAAUGGAAACACAAUUUUUUAUGCGAAAACAAAAAUGGAGACGGAACAAUGUUUUACGAUGGAACAGGCGUAGAAAUGGAAGUUUCCGUUUCCAUUAAUAUGGAACUUUGCGUUUUGAAUGUGAGCACAUGGCUAUUUUUCCGUUUCCAUUAAUAUGGAACUUUGCGUUUUGAAUGUGAGCACAUGGCUAUUUUAUGGCCCAGCAUACACACAAUUAGGCCCUACACACAGAUGGCCCAACGUCUGCGUUAGAUUUACUCCAUCAAGCAUGGCAACACACGACUAGAACCCCUAAUCCCAAAGCAAGCACGCCCCCAUCGAUGACAUAUCCUAUUAUAGAGUAUAGAACCAUGAUAUGUCAUAAUAUUUAGUAGUCAUCUUAUCAACUAGACAACUUUAUCGGCUUCUUGUUUUUGUCUUUGGUUCAAGGGGUCACUACUUCCGAUGAACACUUCGCUCCCGUCUCCUUGUCUGUGAUGUAUUCGCUCCAUUUUCGUUUCCGGUAAUAUUCGUUUCCAUAUUUAUUUCAGCGGCUUUUGUAUUUGUUUCCACCUCCACAAAGAAAUAUGAAAAUAAAUGUGGUGGCAUCCAGUUCCAUCCGUUUCUGCUACGUUUUCAUCCAUACCCGCCGCAGCUGCAACAAACCGCUCAUCCCUUGCUUGUUCUUGAGUGCGCAAGGCACUCAAGACGGUGAUUCUUGCUUAAAAAUGAAAGGCUAAACUGCAAGCAAGCAUUCUGUACUUCAAUAUUGCCGAGGAGGUCCCCGGUCCCACCUCCUUAAAGAAGAUAGGAAAGCGGCACAUACCGGGGGUAGCGACUGUCUAUUAAAAACACUGGACUCUGCUGUUAAAACAGAGCAAUGAACAAUGUGGCAAGAAUGCCAAUGGGUAACUAACUCAUGUUCAAGCCGAUGGGCAAUUCUUAAAUGGGAAGGUCUCGGAGGGAUCACCCGCGUGAGAUUGGGAAAGUGGGUACUAGCCAUAUGAACCGCGAGGCGACCCAAAGUGUCGACAACUAGCAAUGGCCAAUCAAAUUCUCUGCUUGAUGAGGAAAAUGCCAUUUUUGUGCCGAGAAUUAAGAAACACACACUAUAAAAAGCCAAUGGCUCACAAGGACGCCACAUGGCAAAAGACAUCGCAUGUGGCUACAAGGCGGCUUGCAUAAUCUUCACAGGUCGACACAAGACGUUUAAGCCGCCUCCACCAAGUAAGAGUAAAGUCACCAAAAGAAAUACCAUAAACAUUUCUAAACUAACCAAAUUGAAGUGAAACACAUAGCGAAUCAACCAAUGGGAAUAGCCUCUGUUAGCAAUAAAAAUGUCUCCCAAAUGACAAGUGACACACGUGUGGCACGAAGUAACACCGCCCCUGGCGUUUUUUAGAACUAAAUUUGCCAUUAAAAACAACUUAGAAAAACUAAAAUUUGCCAUCCAAACAUAAAGUUGCCAUCCUUGGGUAACUGAAUUUGCCAUCAAAAAACGUCAGGGCGAAAUUGCUCCGUGCCACACGUGUGACACUUAUCAGAGUCCAAAGGUUUAACUCACAAUUGAAGAAAGGCGCAACAAAGUGUUAAUCUCAAUCCCAUAAAAAAAUUAAGCUAACCCCAAUCCAAUCGCCAGUUAGAAAAUUCCUUAUUUUCCGUCGAAUAAUGCAAUGCACAAAUAAUAACAACAUGCGUUUCAAGCACCAGACUCCAAAAUUGUUUGGCAAAAGGGCAUCUGGUGCUCGAAACGCGCUCGAAGCUCGAGAGAUGAAAAUCAAAUUGAAAGUGCAAAUGCUGUGGUGGGAGGGUCUGGGCGCUUAUUGAUGAAUGGGUGGCAAUCCAAACAACCAAAGAUAGAUCGACCUCAUCAUCAAGUGCUAUGUCCUGGAGUCCACCGGAGGUGAAUUGGCUGAAAGUGAAUGUUACGGAGCUAUGAAGAAGGAAGGGGCAUGGGCUGGCGGGGGAGUGGUCGUUCGUGACCAUCAUGGCAUGUUCCGUGCAGGGGCUUUGUCAUUUUUUCUCUAACGUCACCGUUCCCGAGCAUUUUUUCUCUUCGCGUUGCAGGUGCUACGCGCGCCUUCCCGCCAGGGCCACCAACUGCCGCAAGAAAGGUUCGCUUGUUUUUCGGCUAGCUAUUUCUUUAGAUUUUGUGGUCGAAGUUUAUUUGUUCAUGGUUUGGUCUGAUUAAUUUGUGCUCAUUUUCAGCUGAGGCCCAAGAAGAAGUUCAUGUGAAUGUUCUUCGUCGGAUUGGGCUACGCGCGUCGUGGGUGGACCAGUGGAAUAAAUCGUCUUAGCAUCGAUCGCGUCCGUGUUAAGAGUUUUUAACUUAUUAAAAAAAGUCAGUCUAAGAGUCUAGUCUCAAGUUAGUGUAUGCAUGGCAAUAUGAUGUCAAUGAAGGUCCACUUGGAUAUUGGAUCCAUGUGUCAUCUUGAACCUCUUUUUUUCUCAGUUAACAUGCUCAUCGGGUUAUGUUGUGAUUUUUAUCCGCAACGUAGUGUCACAUCCUGAAUCCAUAAGGAUAACAAUGGGUCGGACUCGUCUUGAGUUGAAACAUACUGUAUCCAUACCAAUAUCCAUGAAAGCCUUCUUACCUGGAAAAAACCACCUCGGUAAACAAUAAAAACACAUAUCAAUUUUUGGUCUCCCAAUCUUACAAACACGAUAAAAAAACCUCUGGAAUUCUCCUAAAAUAACAUAGCACAGCACCAAAUAACCAUGUCGGGGUUCUGCAAUUCUCUGAGAAGUGUAACCCGAUGGGUCAAGGGCGAAUCCAUUAUGAGAAUGGAAGUCGUGGGCGCUGAGUAAAAUUUUGUGAAGUAAUUUGCUUUGCCUACGGGUAGGCAUCUGAAAAUAUUGUCCCAUGAGUAUACUUGGGUGUGCCAACUAGUACGAGUCAGGUUUGGACACUGCUCAUUUGGGACGGGUAUCCAGGGUAUGUCCUUGCAUAAAAUUGCCAUUCUAAGAAAGUUGCCGCAUAAAGCAUUGUAGGGCAGGAUUGAUGUAGAACUUGACGCAUCUUAGCAAGUGGUUGUGCUGCCCAGAAUCAUAAAAAGACUAAUAUUUAGGAACACGGGUAGUAGCUAAUAUAUUUUUUCAUGGAAUACAUUAAGACCAACACAAUUUUUUUGGAGGUGGAAAGGCGUGUUCAGACCCCCCCCAUGCCGAACACUGCCCCUCCGCCGAGGGGAAUGUAUCUCACCCACCCUUGUGGUGCUACCGGUGCACCGGAUAGCUUAGCACAAUUUAGAACAUUUUUUUAAAAUAAUCUAGCACAUCGACAUAACAUCAAUGUAUGUGUGUCACAAAAAAUCUUAUUAAAAUUCAAAAUUUUGCUUGAGAUAUAGAAAUGUCAGUUUUGACAUCAAUGUGAUAAUGCUCUAAAUCUAAAACCUAACUUAUGUUAUGUACUAUUCUGUGUCGAAAAUUUGUUAUUUUUGUUCCUGUGCUGAAUUUUGAAUCUAAAUUAGAAAUUUUAUGACAGCAUACAUUGAUGUUAUAUGAAUAUAUGCGGUAAUUUUCCUUAGAAUUUUGAAAUGUGCUACGGGAGUUUGAUGAGUCGAUGAAACUGCAAAGUGAAAUUACACCAUCUGCCACCGCGAAAUGAAAAAUGAACGGUUCGGCUGUUCGGCCCAGCCGUUCCCUCUCCUCGCGCACGAGUCGGCCCCUUCCUCCCGUUCUCCUCCACGGCUCCACACCGUGCGUCGGGCGCCGCCGCCGCCACCCAGCGUGAGCACGCAGCGACGCCGCCAUUCGCAUCGCUUACCCGUGAACACGCGGCGGUCCUCUGCCACCCCCUGCUCGAGGCCGCCCGUCUCGCGCCCCCACCAGCCGCCGCCGGCCUCGCCUCACCUCUCUCGGUCCGUCGUUGCUACGAAGGAAGAAUCCGCCGGAGGCAGGAACGAGGACCUCCUCGAGCAGGUCCUCCAUUCGGCAACUUCCGAACUGGACCUUAGUUUUUGGCCAGGGGCGUUAACCAAUCUGGCAGCCGUUGCUCGCAGCGGUUGCAGGUGAUUCGAUCCGGGUCCAUGGCGGCGGCGGCGGCGCUCGCGGUCACGGACGAGCUGGCCCUGCCGCUUCGCGCGGUGGGGUGCCUGGCGGCGGCCGCCGGGGUCUCGCGGGAGGAGGUCGUCGUCAUCACACAGUGCGCCUCGCCCGGUAAAAGCUCCUCGCCCCUUUCCCCUGUUACCCGAACCCCAAGCCGCGAUUUCGCUCGCGCGUAUGCCUAAGCUAAGCUAGGGUUAGGACCUCUGCAUGUUUACAUAAUUACAUACAAUCUGAGAGGAUAAUAUUUCUCGACCGGUAGCUUGGAAUCAAAUUCGAGAUCGGAUCGCCCGGAGCUCAUUAACAUAUUGCUUGCUUGCUGGUUCAGAUUUAGACCUUGAUGCGUUCAAGCGUAUUCUACAUAUGUAUGAUAAUUGCUAUCUGCACAAGUGUUACUCUAUACAUGUAAAGAAUACACGAAAGAAACACACACUAACCGGUUGAGAAAGUAAAAAGGAGAUGUCUAUAUUCUUGCUUCGAUCGUGAGAAAAAUAUACUAUCUCAUCGAACUAUUGGCCUAUCAGGCUACCACUCAUAGACUGAUAUAUGAAUGAGCUGUUACAGAACCCAUGUUAUUUCAGCCAAGUCUUUCUUAUGGUCAGACAAGUCUUUCUUAACAAUCCAAUUGUCGUGCAUUUCACUAAUCUGAGAGUAGACAUUUCAUUGUGUUAGCUUUCGAUGACUCUUACAUAGGCUUCAAUUUUAAUAUGUCACAUCCUUGUAUUAAAACUUAAGUAUGCCAUGAACCUGUUAUAAACCUUUGUUGUGAACAUGGGUCAGGUGGGAAGUUUCCUUUUGAUGAUGCAUCCGUUGGUGCUGUCCUGUCUGUCAUUAAAAAUGUGGAGAGCUUCGGGGAGCAGUUGGUUGCUGAAAUUAGCCGAGUGCUGAAAGCUGGUGGAAUUGUGCUGGUACAGAGCUUCACACCCUCCUCUGAUCAGAAGGUAAUCCAUGGAACAGUUUUUGCUUACAUCCAUUGUCUUGUGAUUUUAAUUUGGCACAACCUGAUUUUCUAAUUUUCUCUGCAUUAGCUAAACAAUUAUAUCGAGCGCCAACUACUCAUGGGCGGUUUUGUUGAAGUGAACGCUUCUGCUACAAGCUCACAGGAUGGCGUGCAGUCUGUUACUGUGAGUAGGACAUAUUGUGUUAAGGCUGAUGUACAUGCUUUUCCUCUAUUGAUGAGUGCUAACUCAAAUCACUUGCAGAUCAAGGCAAAGAAGCCAUCUUGGAGUAUGGGUUCUUCCUUCCCCCUGAGAAAAGCAAUAAAGGCUCUUCCAAAGAUUGAAAUCGAUGACGACGAUGAACUGAUUGAUGAAGACAGCCUCUUGACCGAGGAAGACUUGAAGAAACCACAGCUUCCAGUUGGUAUAGCCAACAAACCCUCUGACCUUGUUUAAUUCUUGUGAAGAUGUUUAAUUCAGGCAGGGCUGAGGCUGAGCAGAAGAUGGAGAAGCUGGGGCUGACUGCAGAACAGAUCGAUAACCCCGUGUCAGCUUGUGGCAGUGUAAGUCAAUUUAAAGCUUGUAGACAUGCAACGCCACUGGUGAUUCUCACUAGCCAACUGACUCUAAGUCACCGACUGAUUAUAUCUUACAUUCCUCUGCGAAACAUCAAUUUCAGUGUGGGUUGGGCGAUGCGUUCCGUUGCAGCACUUGCCCAUACAGAGGCCUGGCACCGUUUAAGUUGGGAGAGAAGGUAACCAAUCUCUAUUCCUCAUUAUAACUUGACUAGAUUCAUUCACGAAGACAGCUUUGGGGUAUGACCUGAGCUUAUUUUGAUGAAUUAUAUGCUGACUCCUCGUUUCUUCAUCUCCAGGUCACCUUGUCUGACAACUUCCUUUUGGUCGACAUAUGAUGGCGGAGAGCAGCCGCGGAUGCGAAAUGGCUUGUUCAGUUUGUUGGUUCGUUAGAAAGGAAUCUACGUUUUUCAUGGUAAAGCAUGGACGAUGGUGGUUACAGCAAAAGAAGAUAACGCGCUUGGAAUGGGGUAGCUUGUGUUAGCCUAUCGUGCCCUGCAGUCAGUUCCCAGGUUGAGGUGAGAGCGGAUCGUGAGUGCGUUUUCUAUUUGGGACGAGUACUAUACAUGUCAAGUAUGCUGCAAUGACGAUGUUUGCAUAUACUAGUAAUCUUGCACACGCAAUUCUAUUAAAAGAGAAGUUACGUAACAUCGACUUUUUUUUGUCAAGCUCAUGCCUCAAAUAUGAGUCAGUGAGAUCACCACAAGCCCACUACAUCUUUGAUCCCAAAUAAUUCACAAAUAGCAUUACAUUGAAAUGUUUGAAUAAGUUAAGUUGUGAGUACUUUUCACAAUUAUCAUAAUUCUAGAAUUCAUAACAUUGUGGGUUGUGAGGAAAAGGAAACAAAGCAGAGCUUAGUCACUUGAAAUGGACCAGCACCAGGAUCAAAGUGCAAGUGUUAUUGAGAGGCACUAAAAGGUGUUGUCCAGUUCGAAGGAAACGAAACAAAACAGAGUUCAGUUAACUGAGUUGUACAUGAACAUUGCGGGGCAAGAGGUGUUAAACCAGCGCCAUGAUACCAAAGUGCCCCUGGAGUUGUAUCAUACUGUAUUUCACAUACAAGUACUUUUCACCUGAGUUUUUGAGGGACUGCCAACCAGAAAUGAUUAGCAAAUCAACUGGUCUUGGAUUUCAUAUACGAAAUUGCUCUGCAUAUGACUUUAAAUAUACGAUCCACGUCCGACCUAGUGAUCCCACCAUUGCCAUUGAUGCAGAGAUUUGAUCAGAGGGUGACUGAGCAGUGUCGUACAAGAAUUCAUCGUACGCUAGCACUGCUCUUUCAUAUAAAACGACAGAAAUAUUAUUACAUACUAUAACUUCACUCAACUGAUCAUGUAAGAAUCCAUUUUAAUGUAUUGGUUGCAACGGUAUCUUGAAUUUAGUGCCCGUCGGCAUGCUCAGCUAGGUGCUAUGCCUAAGGUCCUUAAUCAAACACAAACUAUACUUUGGUUCUCUCACAUGAUUUCCAUCGUCGUCGCUGCCUUAACUUCACCGGCGAUGAAGAACUCAAAGACCACACGGGACACGGACUGGACACACGGAUCCGGGGUGUGACGCCCCCGAUUCAAUCGUACAUUAAUCAUGCACGCAAAUGUGUACGAUCAAGAUCAGGGACUCAUGGGAAGAUAUCACAACACAACUCUAAAACAUAAAUAAGUCAUACAAGCAUCAUAAUACAAGCCAGGGGCCUCGAGGGCUCGAAUACAAGUGCUCGAUCAUAGACGAGUCAGCGGAAGCAACAAUAUCUGAGUAUAGACAUAAGUUAAACAAGUUUGCCUUAAGAAGGCUAGCACAAACUGGGAUACAGAUCGAAAGAGGCGCAGGCCUCCUGCCUGGGAUCCUCCUAAACUACUCCUGGUCAUCGCCAGCGGGCUGCACGUAGUAGUAGGCACCUCCAGAGUAGUAGUCGUCGUAGCCGAAGGUGGCAUCUGGAUCCUGGGCUCCAACGUCUGGUUGCGGCAUCCGAGAAGAAGAGGAAAACGAGGGAAAAGAGGGAGCAAAGCAACCGUGAGUACUCAUCCAAAGUACUCGCAAGCAAGGAGCUAUACUACAUAUGCAUGGGUAUAUGUGUAAGGAGGCAAUAUGAGUGGACUGAACUGCAGAAUGCCAGAAUAAGAGGGGGAUAGCUAGUCCUAUCGAAGACUACGCUUCUGGCAGCCUCCGUCUUGCAGCAUGUAGAAGAGAGUAGAUUGAAGUCCUCCAAGUAGCAUCUCCAAGUAGCAUCUCCAGUAGCAUCGCAUAGCAUAAUCCUACCCGGCGAUCCCCUCCUCGUCGCCCUGUAGAAAAGCGAUCACCGGGUUGUCUGUGGAACUUGGAUGGGUGUGUUUUAUUAAGUAUCUGAUUCUAGUUGUCAUAAGGUCAAGGUACAACUCCAAGUCGUCUUGUUACCGAAGAUCACGGCUAUUCGAAUAGAUUAACUUCCCUGCAGGGGUGCACCAACUUACCCAACACGCUUGAUCCCAUUUGGCCGGACACACUUUCCUGGGUCAUGCCCGGCCUCCGAAGAUCAACACGUCGCAGCCCCACCUAGGCAAAACAGAGAGGCCAGCACGCCGGUCUAAACCUAAGCGCACAGGGGUCUGGGCCCAUCGCCCAUAGCACACCUGCACGUUGUGAGGGCGGCCGGAAGCAGAACUAGCCCCCUUAAUACAAGAGCAGGCUUACGUUCCAAUCCGGCGUGCGCCGCUCCGUCGCUGACGUCUGAAGUGCUUCGGCUCAUACCACGACGUCGGGAUACCCAUAACUACUACCACGUAGGUGGUUAGUGCGUAUAGGCUCGUAGCCAACUCAGAUCAAAUACCAAGAUCUCGUUAAGCGUGUUAAAUAUCCGCGAACGCCGAACAGGGCCAGGCCCACCUCUCUCCUAGGUGGUCUCAACCUGCCCUGUCGCUCCGCCACAAAGAUCCACACAGAGGGCCGUCGGGACAAAGGUCCUUUCAGCCCCCAAUCCGUGAAUCACUCACGGGUACUCUUCGAGCUGACCCGACUUUAGUCACCAUCUAUAUAGUAUGUAUGUAUAGUAUAGUAUAUACCCGUGAUCACCUCCCGAGUGAUCACGGCCCAAUAGUAUAACAAGGCAGACCGACAAGAAUGUAGGGCCAAUAAUGAUAAACUAGCAUCCUAUACUAAGUAUUUAGGAUUGCAGGUAAGGUAUCAACAGAUGUAGCAACAAUGUCAGGCUAUGCAUCAGAAUAGGAUUAACGGAAAGCAGUAACAUGCUACACUACUCUAAUGCAAGCAGUAUAGAGAAGAGUAGGCGAUAUCUGGUGAUCAAGGGGGGGGGGCUUGCCUGGUUGCUCUGGCAAGAGAGAGGGGUCGUCAACUCCGUAGUCGAACUGGGCAGCAGCAGCGUCGGACUCGGUGUCUAGCGGAAGAAGAGGGGGAAGAAACAAUGAAUACAAUGCAAACAGAUGCAUGACGAUGCAUGACAUGACAAGUAUCGAUGCUAGGUGUGCCCAAUCGCGGUAGUAGGUGAUACCGACGAAGGGGGAAAACAUCCGGGAAAGUAUUCCCGGUGUUUUACGUUUUCGGAUAGAUGAACCGGAGGGGGAAAGUUGCGAUUCCGAUAGGUUAGGGAUGUGUGGCAGAUGAACGGGCUGCGUAUCCGGGUUCGUCUCGUCGUUCUGAGCAACUUUCAUGUAGAAAGUAUUUUCAUCCGAGUUACGGAUUAAAAGAUAUGAUUUUCUAAAGAUUUAAUUAUUUUCUAGAAUUUAUUUAAUUAAUUUAAACCAACAUUAUCCAUAAUAGUAUGAGAUGACGUCAUCAUGACGUAUGUGUGAUGUCAGCAGUCAACAGUGCGGUUGACUAGAGUCAAAAAUGACUGUGGGUCUAGUGGGACCCACCUGUCAUUGAGAAAGAGGUGAAAUGGGAUUUGUUUUAAACUAAUUUAGAAUUAACUAAGUGUGGGCCCCAUUAGUCAGUGACUAAUUAGCCCAGAUUAAUUAGAUUAACUAAUUUAAUUAGCUUAAAGAUGGGGGGGCCACUGGUCAGCUGCUGGGACCAGCCCAGUCAGCAAGUUGACUCAGUCAACUGAUCAACAAGGGGCCUUGGGCCCACCAGUCAGUGGCCCAGGCGGUGCCACGCGGGUGCCACGUCGGUGACGUCGCCGGAAUCACGCCGGCGACCAUUUCCGCGGCGGAAGUUCGCCGGAGUUGCACGGAUUUCCAGCACAGUGCACCAGUCCGCGCAUUUUCGGUGGCGUUCGAACGAGUAGAUCGUCCCGCGUCGAUCUAGGGUGAUCCCAGGUGCGGGGGUGGCCGGAGUGGAGCUCAACGACGACCGCGGGCGGCGCCGGAAUACGGGCAUCUCCGAAAACCAUGCUACGGGCUGCGUUCUAGUUGACAAACGGCGCUAGCGGGCUCUACGGACCUCCGGCAACUCGACGGAGGCCACGGCUUGGCUCGGAGAUGGACGGGGUGAGCGCAAUGAGCUCGCGGACGAGGCCGCAUGCGGCAAUGGCGACGGCAGCACCGCGAGCCAUCUACGGUGCAUGAGGAGGAACCAGAGGAAGGAGGAGGGUGCGGAGGCUUACGUCGCGGCACACGGAGGCCCUCGAGUGAACGGAAGCGCAGAGGGAUGUCGCCGGAGUUGGUGAAGAACGCGGCAGCCGAAGAUGUGGACGAAGGGGAUCCGGUGAUUCAUGGCUCCCCCGCUCCAGCUGAGGCCUCCGGUGGACGAGGAAGACGAUGGAGGCGUCGACGGACACGCAGGCGCGGCGAGGCGGUGACUGUGGCCACGCGGUUCACGGCGGCGAGGCCAUGGCAGCGCUCGGUUGCAGUGGGGAACGAGGGGGAGAUGGAUCUGGAGGGGAGAGGGAGAGGCGCGGGGGCCGAGGGCGAGCGUGGGGGCGAGCGGGAGGUGGGAUCGAGGAGGCGAGGGGGGGUGCUGGCGAUCUUAUCCCCCCAUCGUCGCCGGCGAGAGGGUGCGGCGGGGACGCGCCCCUGUUCCGACCCGGGUCGGGGGAACAGAGAAAGGAGGCGGCAGGGGGAGGCGGGCCGGUUCGGCCGGAUGGGCCAGGAGGCAGGGGCUGUGGCUAGCUGGGCCUUUCGGCCCAGGGGGGAAGGGGGAGGGGUUUCUUCUUUUUCCCUUUUGUAUUUUCUUUAUUAUUUCUUUUCUGUUUAAAUUCAUUUAAAAGUAUUUAGGCAUUUUAUAAAAAUGUGUUUACUUCACCAUAAUUACCGAUGCAAUAUUUGGCAACCCCCGAACAUUUUUGUGUUGACUUUUGAAAACUUUGGGUGUUUGUCGCUAAUUCAUUUUUUUUAAAUUGCUAUGUUUUUGAACUACCACUUAAUUAGCAACAGUAACAUAGAUGACAUGGCAUCAUCAAGAGAGUUUUACUGUAGCCUAAUUAUCCGGGCGUUACAAAUCUCCUCCACUACAAGAAAUCUCGUCCCGAGAUUUAGGAGGUAGAAGGAAACAGUGCGGGGUAUUCUUCACGCAGGCGAUCCUCUUGUUCCCAAGUGGCUUCAUCUUCAGAAUGGUGCGACCACUGAACUUUGAGGAACUUGAUCGCCUUCUGGCGUGUGCGGCGUUCAGCUUGGUCGAGAAUGCGGACCGGAUGCUCUUUAUAGGAGAGGUCCUGUUGCAAUUCAAGCACUUCAUGGUCCACUGCUCGGAUUGGGUCCUUGAUGCAGCGACGGAGCUGCGACACGUGGAACACAUCGUGAACCUGAGAAAGGUUCGACGGAAGCUCCAGUUGAUAUGCCACUUUUCCACGCCUUUCCAGAAUAGUGAAUGGGCCAAUAUAGCGAGGAGCUAGCUUGCCCUUGAUCCCGAAGCGGUGAGCACCCUUCAUUGGUGUAACUCGAAGAUAGGCCUUUUCGCCAGGUAGAUAGACCAUGUCUUUAUGAUGACGGUCAUACUGACUCUUCUGACGUGACUGAGCAGUCUUGAGAUGCUCGCGAAUAAUGCGGACUUGUUCUUCAGCAUGUUGGAUAAUAUCCGGACCGAAGAGUGGACGUUCCCCAGUUUCUGACCAGUUCAGAGGGGUUCGGCACUUUCGUCCAUAUAACACUUUGAAGGGGGCCAUCUUCAGACUAGCUUGAUAGCUAUUAUUAUAAGAGAACUCAGCAUACGGGAGAGAUUCCUCCCAUUUCUUGCCGAAGGAAAUAACACAAGCUCGAAGCAUGUCUUCGAGAAUUUGGUUUACACGUUCAACUUGCCCUUGCGACUGCGGAUGAAACGCAGUACUGAGUGACAGGUGAGUUCCCAUAGCUUCUUGGAAACUUGCCCAGAAUCUUGAAGUGAAUAAACUGCCACGGUCUGAACUGAUAACCAGUGGAAUACCGUGAAGCGAAACAAUUCUGGACAUGUAGAGAGUUGCAAGCUGACUAGCAGUGAUCGUUUCUUUGACCGCCAGAAAAUGUGCAACCUUAGAAAGUCGGUCAAUGACGACAAGAAUAGCAUCAUUACCCUUUUGUGAUUUGGGAAAUCCAGUAACGAAGUCCAUCUCGACAUGGUCCCAUUUCCAUUCAGGAAUAGAUAUAGGUUGCAGAGUUCCAGCAGGCCUUUGAUGUUCUGCUUUGAUACGACGGCAAACGUCACAUUCAGCAACAUAACGAGCAAUGUCUUGCUUCAUGUUAGACCACCAGAAUCUCUGGCGGAUGUCUUGGUACAUCUUUGUACUACCAGGAUGGAUACAUAGAGGCGUAUCAUGAGCUUCUUUCAUAACCUCCUGAGUCAUAUUCAGGUUUUCCUUCUUACACGGCACCACUAGGCGGCCUUUGAAGUACAAGGCGCCAUCAUCAGCAAUAGUGAAGAAUGAUGGCUUUCCUUCUUUGAGGUCGCGCUUAAUCUUGUGGACUUCAGAGUCAUAUCCCUGUAAUGUCUUGAUGGAGCUCACGAGAUCGGGUUCGACAGCCAGGGUAUAGAGGGAACCCUUGGAAACAACACGGAGAUUCAUCUUGUGAGACUCCUCAGGAGGGGGAGCGAGUGCACCCGGAGGAACAAUAUGGAGGUUCAGCUUUCUGAAUUCUUCAACAAGUGAGGGCUGAACUUUGUGAAUCUGGAGGUGGUUGCAGUAAGACUUGCGGCUUAAAGCAUCAGCCAUUACAUUAGCCUUGCCUGGGGUAUAGGAAAUACCCAAAUCAAAGUCUACAACAGUCUCCAUCCAUCUCUGCUAACGGAGAUUCAGGUCUGGCUGAGUAAACCGAUACUUCAGACUUUGGUGGUCAGUGAAGAUCUCACAACGAUUACCGAGUAGGUAAUGUCGCCACUGUUUUAGCGCAUGAAUGACAGCAGCAAGUUUGAGGUCGUGAACUGGAUAGUUCUCUUCGUGAGGGCGCAAUUGCCGAGAGGCAUAAGCAACCACUUUGCGCUCUUGCAUUAGGACACAGCCUAAUCCUUGACGGGAAGCGUCGCAGUAAAUGACGAAGUCCUUCUUAGUAUCAGGAGGAGCUAGUACUGGGGCAGAAGUCAACUUGUCUUUGAGUGCCUGGAAACUUUCCUGACAUUUAUCUGUCCAUUGGAACUUGACGCCCUUAUGCAACAGGUUAGUCAGAGGCCUGGCAAUCUUGGAGAAGUUCUCGACGAAUCGACGGCAAUAGCUGGCGAGACCGAGAAAACUUCUGACUUGCUUGACAUUCUUCGGAGGAGUCCAAUCGAGAAUAGCCUGAACUCGUUCAGGGUUGACGGCAAUACCAUCCUUAGAGAUGACAUGCCCGAGAUAGGUUACUUCGGGAAGCCAGAAUUCACACUUGGAGAACUUGGCAUAUAGCUGAUGCUCUCGCAGCUUUUCCAGCACAAGACGAAGAUGUUCAGCAUGUUCUUCUUCAUUCUUGGAAAAUAUCAGGAUAUCAUCCAGAUAAACCACGACGAACUUGUCGAGGUAAUCCAUGAAUAUAUAGUUCAUCAGGCGAGAGAAGGUGGCUGGAGCAUUGGUUAAGCCGAAAGACAUGACUGUGUACUCGUAUGAACCAUAACGAGUCACAAAGGCGAUCUUGGGGAUAUCCUCCUCACGAACACGGAUCUGGUGGUAACCCAAUCUCAAGUCGAGUUUAGAGAACACUGAUGAACCAGCCAGUUGAUCAUACAGAUCAUUGAUCCGAGGAAGAGGAUACUUAUUCUGAAUGGUAGCUUGAUUUAUAGGACAGUAGUCUUGGACCAAUCGGUUUGUCCCAUCCUUCUUCUUGACAAAGAGAGAAGGUGCUCCCCAAGGAGAGCAACUUGGGAGAAUGAAACCACUGCGAAGAGACUUGUCGAUUUCCUCCUUAAGCUCAAGGAGUUCAUGCGGCGGCAUCUUGUAGGGUCACUUGGCUAUAGGAGUGGUGCCUGGUUUCAAAUCGAUGAUGAAUUCGACAGCCCUAGCAGGGGGAAUCCCUGGAAGUUCUUCAGGAAAGACGUCGAGGAAUUCACGCACGACAGGAAUGUUUUCAAUACCCUCGAGUGAUGCAGCGUUCAAUGCAUUCAAUGCAUAGAGCCUUGCCUCGGCAUUUUGCACCAGAUGAGCUCGGUAAGUGACUAUUUCAUCGGAAGGGUGUAGCAGAUGAACGGUCUUAGUGGCGCAAACUAUAGAGGCAGUAUGCGCAUUUAACCAAUUCAUUCCCAGAAUGAGGUCAAUGCUACAAGACUUCAGUACGAUGGGUGAGACAAGGAAUUCCAGUCCUUCGAUUUCAACGGGGACGUCGUUGCAAAUCAUGGAGGUUCGACAUUGGCCCGCAGGGGUGUGUACUAAUAGUGAAGCAUUCAUGUCUUCACUUUUAAUGCCAUGCAUGAAUGCGAAAUCUUCAGACAUGAAUGAAUGUGAUGCACCAGUAUCAAAUAAAACGGAUGCUGGUACUGAAUUUACGAGGAGUGUACCCAUCACAGUAGCAGGCUGGUCUUGAGCUUCAUUUAGAUCAACAUGGUUGGCAUGAACACGGCCAUAAGACUUGGCAUUGUUAUUGCGGGUCUGGUUGUUUCCACGGCCAGCGGCUGGAAGGGCCAGUUGAUUCUGAUUCUGAAUGCAAUCCCUAGCACGGUGACCUGGUUGACCACACUUGUAGCACAGGCCAUUAUUGGGAGUGGGAACAUGAGCUUGGGGUGGCGGAGCUGGAAGCCUUGGCUGCCUAGUUGGAGCAGUAGGCAGACGAGGUGCAGCGUAGGACUGCCUUGGGGCUGGUGCAUUUGGACGGUACAUGCUGUUCGGGAUCCAUAUCUUACGCUUCUGCGAGGGCGGGCCCGAAGAUGAGCCCGUGUCACGAUUGCGCCUUUGAGAGCUCUGGUGUUCCUGCAGACCAGUCUCGACAUUGAUGGCCUUAUUCACCAAGGUGGCGAAAUCGGUAAAUUCAUGCACCAGAAGUGCGAGCUUGAUGUCAGCUUGAAGGCCGUCACGGAACUUCUCCUGUCUACGUGCAUCAGUUGCAAUGUCUUCUUCGGCAUAGCGGGAUAAGUCCAGAAAUUCCCGCUGAUAAGCUUCCACAGUUUUGUUGCCCUGGGUGAGGUUGCGGAACUCACGCUUCUUCCUGUCCAUGAUCCCCUGAGGAAUGAAGCGGGCACGGAAGGCAGCCUGAAAGUCUGGCCAGGUGAUGAUUGUCCCAACUGGCAGAGUACGCCUGUGGCUGUCCCAUCAUUGAGCUGUGGGUCCCUUCAGAAAGAAGGAAGCAAAGGUGACAUAGCGGGCCGGGGCUACUUCAGCAGACUCCAUCUCAUAGGUGAUGUCACGGAGCCAGUCAUCAGCAUCCAGCGGCUGAGUUGAGCUGCGGUACACGGUUGGGUUGAGGCGCAUGAAAUCCUGCAGAGUUACGUGGGCUGGCUGCUCAUUCAUAUUGGGACGAGGGAACUGAGCCAUCACAUUCUCCAUGAACUGGCGAUUCAUCUCGAGCUGUUGGACCAUACCAGCCAUGUACUCAGGUGGUGGUGGGGCGUUGCCGCCACGACCACGACCAGCUGGUCUAACCAUCCUGUUAAUAUAUAACAGGGGUAGUUCAGUAUUGAGAAAUUUGCAUAGACAAGAGUCAUUCAUGAUGAAACAUGCAUAAUGAAAAGAGCACGACAGAUACCACAUAGCUAGUCGGCAUAACUUACAAAAGGGGUCGGACAUAGAGUUCAGUACACAGAGUUCAGUACACAGAGUUUAGUACAUAGACUAAGUCAUCAUAGGCGGCACGCAGGCUUGCGAAUGCAUCUAAUACUAAUGAGCAAGACUACAUCAGCCCCAGGAGGUACUGUGAAGGUAGCUGUAGCCUGACAGCUGGUAGUGAGGCAACGGAUAGUCCUCCACGUUAGUGGCCUGGGGGCCGCGGAUACUCUGGUGUAGAACCCGACGCUCAGGUGGCAGAAGAGGACCAAGUGCGGGAGAGUAACCUCCCACCUCUGGCCAUCCGACACCAUGGGGCAUCACGGUCCUGGCUGGGUAGAUCGCAGAACGCGGCAGCUGUCCAGACCGCACAAAGGGGUGCAGCAGCGUCAGAGCCCUGUAAAGGUGCUGACGAGUGGUGUACAACUCGUGGCGAAGAGCUCUGUUAGCUCGGUCCAGCCCAUCAGCAUGCAGAACCAGGCGCUGAUGGUGGAAGGGCUCUCGGGUGACGGUGGAGUAGGCGGCAGUGUAGUAUCCCUCCGCACCAACGUCAGAUGCGAUAGGAAUGUGUCUGAAAGGGGAAGUGUCCAACGCCUGAUACUCUCCACGAAGACGUGUUAGAGCAGCAUGAGCAGCAUCGUGUACUGCCAUCUCGAUGGUCACUCCAACACCAUGAGCGGUGUGUAGCACGGUAGUGGACUCAUACUCCCGAGAGUAGAGGUGGACGAUGGCACGAUACUGCUCCUGAUUAAAGUCCUGGUACUCCUCGUAGACGGUGUACUCAGGGUGCCAGCGAUAACCCAGAUAGGUCAUCAUAUCAGCUAGCACAGCAGGUGAUCCUGAGGCACCAAUGGCCACAGUGUGGCGCACGACCUGCCUCGUGGGUUCCAUCUGAAAACAAAGAUGUUUCAAUGGAGUCAAAUGACAGUGUGGAAAUCGUCCAAAAUACUAUUCCAAAGAAUACUAUGGAUUUAUCCAACUUUGGGUGAAUGGGGUCACGGGAUCCUAGUGAUAGUUAGUAAAUUCGUUUGACCCGAGUAGAAAAGAGUUCAGAGUCCCAGAGUAAAGGUCGAGGAGUAAAAGAUCCUAGUACCACCCGAUGGUGACGUGGGCCCAUAAGGCACACAGCCAAGUUAGUAAAAGUUUUUGUAAUGUCUAGACUCGACUUCGGCCAAGGAGUGUGGAAGGGGGAUUCCUACAGGCAGUCGGCUCUGAUACCAACUUGUGACGCCCCCGAUUCAAUCGUACACUAAUCAUGCACGCAAACGUGUAUGAUCAAGAUCAGGGACUCACGGGAAGAUAUCACAACACAACUCUAAAACAUAAAUAAGUCAUACAAGCAUCAUAAUACAAGCCAGGGGCCUCGAGGGCUCGAAUACAAGUGCUCGAUCAUAGAUGAGUCAGCGGAAGCAACAAUAUCUGAGUACAGACAUAAGUUAAACAAGUUUGCCUUAAGAAGGCUAGCACAAACUGGGAUACAGAUCGAAAGAGGCGCAGGCCUCCUGCCUGGGAUCCUCCUAAACUACUCCUGGUCGUCGCCAGCGGGCUGCACGUAGUAGUAGGCACCUCCAGAGUAGUAGUCGUCGUAGCCGAAGGUGGCAUCUGGAUCCUGGGCUCCAACGUCUGGUUGCGGCAUCCGAGAAGAAGAGGAAAACAAGGGAAAAGAGGGAGCAAAGCAACCGUGAGUACUCAUCCAAAGUACUCGCAAGCAAGGAGCUACACUAUAUAUGCAUGGGUAUAUGUGUAAGGAGGCAAUAUGAGUGGACUGAACUGCAGAAUGCCAGAAUAAGAGGGGGAUAGCUAGUCCUAUCGAAGACUACGCUUCUGGCAGCCUCCGUCUUGCAGCAUGUAGAAGAGAGUAGAUUGAAGUCCUCUAAGUAGCAUCUCCAAGUAGCAUCUCCAGUAGCAUCACAUAGCAUAAUCCUACCCGGCGAUCCCCUCCUCGUCGACCUGUAGAAAAGCGAUCACCGGGUUGUCUGUGGAACUUGGAAGGGUGUGUUUUAUUAAGUAUCCGGUUCUAGUUGUCAUAAGGUCAAGGUACAACUCCAAGUCGUCCUGUUACCGAAGAUCACGGCUAUUCGAAUAGAUUAACUUCCCUGCAGGGGUGCACCAACUUACCCAACAUGCUUGAUCCCAUUUGGCCGGACACACUUUCCUGGGUCAUGCCCGGCCUCGGAAGAUCAACACGUCGCAGCCCCACCUACGCAAAACAGAGAGGCCAGCACGCCGGUCUAAACCUAAGCGCACAUGGGUCUGGGCCCAUCGCCCAUAGCACACCUGCACGUUGCGAGGGCGGCCGGAAGCAGAACUAGCCCCCUUAAUACAAGAGCAGGCUUACGUUCCAAUCCGGCGCGCGCCGCUCCGUCGCUGACGUCUGAAGUGCUUCGGCUGAUACCACGACGCCGGGAUACCCAUAACUACUCCCACGUAGAUGGUUAGUGCGUAUAGGCUCGUAGCCAACUCAGAUCAAAUACUAAGAUCUCGUUAAGCGUGUUAAAUAUCCGCGAACGCCGAACAGGGCCAGGCCCACCUCUCUCCUAGGUGGUCUCAACCUGCCCUGUCGCUCCGCCACAAAGAUCCACACAGAGGGCCGUCGGGACAAAGGUCCUUUCAGCCCCCAAUCCGUGAAUCACUCGCGGGUACUCUUCGAGCUAACCCGACUUUAGUCACCAUCUGUAUAGUAUGUAUGUAUGUAUAGUAUAUACCCGUGAUCACCUCCCGAGUGAUCACGGCCCAAUAGUAUAGCAAGGCAGACCGACAAGAAUGUAGGGCCAAUAAUGAUAAACUAGCAUCCUAUACUAAGUAUUUAGGAUUGCAGGUAAGGUAUCAACAGAUGUAGCAACAUCAGGCUAUGCAUCAGAAUAGGAUUAACGGAAAGCAGUAACAUGCUACACUACUCUAAUGCAAGCAGUAUAGAGAAGAGUAGGCGAUAUCUGGUGAUCAAGGGGGGGGCUUGCCUGGUUGCUCUGGCAAGAGAGAGGGGUCGUCAACUCCGUAGUCGAACUGGGCAGCAGCAACGUCGGACUCGGUGUCUAGGGGAAGAAGAGGGGGAAGAAACAAUGAAUACAAUGCAAACAGAUGCAUGACGAUGCAUGACAUGACAAGUAUCGAUGCUAGGUGUGCCCAAUCGCGGUAGUAGGUGAUACCGACGAAGGGGGAAAACAUCCGGGAAAGUAUUCCCGGUGUUUUACGUUUUCGGACAGAUGAACCGGAGGGGGAAAGUUGCGAUUCCGAUAGGUUAGGGAUGUGUGGCAGACGAACGGGCUGCGUAUCCGGGUUCGUCUCGUCGUUCUGAGCAACUUUCAUGUAGAAAGUAUUUUCAUCCGAGUUACGGAUUAAAAGAUAUGAUUUUCUAAAGAUUUAAUCAUUUUCUUUAUUAUUUCCCUUUUGUAUUUUCUUUAUUAUUUCUUUUCUGUUUAAAUUCAUUUAAAAGUAUUUAGGCAUUUUAUAAAAAUGUGUUUACUUCACCAUAAUUACCGAUGCAAUAUUUGGCAACCCCCGAACAUUUUUGUGUUGACUUUUGAAAACUUUGGGUGUUUGUCGCUAAUUCAUUUUUUUUAAAUUGCUAUGUUUUUGAACUACCACUUAAUUAGCAACAGUAACAUAGAUGACAUGGCAUCAUCAAGAGAGUUUUACUGUAGCCUAAUUAUCCGGGCGUUACACGGGGUUCCCGAAGAUCGAUCUUUUGUAUUUUUGCCAAUUUCAUGCUAUAGCUGAGCUUGUGAACCCAAGCAAAUUUCUCUCCAAAAUGCAGCAUUUCUAACAUUGUCUAUGCUACUCUUUUCUGCGGAUAGUUGUCUAUACUACUGACUCAAAUUGGCUAAUUUUGACUGAUCAGUUGCAAAAUCCUUUGAGUUUGUUUGAUUCAUCUCUGAAAUAAGUUAUACAUAUCAUUUCAACUCAAUUCACUUAUAUUCCUUAUUUUGUUCCAACUACACUUGUGUUUACAAAAUGACUGAACUAUUUACAAGAAAAAGGGGCACCUUGCCUAUAUCCGUGAAUCUAACAAGAUAUUCUUGGAACCAACAGGCAUAUCAAGAUCAAUGUUACUGAAUUCAAGCAAGUAAAUUAAACUACACUUAAGUAAGAAUGGAGGUGGAAGAAUGAAACUUCCACUAAAAAUCUUCAUAAUGUGUUACUAUGCUUUGAAAACUCACUCAAACCUAAGUAGACCGUCUGUUGGAACUUUCCUUCUGUAUACAAAUCCUUUUUCAAACAAGGAUCACUGCAUAAAAGUAGAGCGGGGCAAGCUAUGAAUUUUCAGUAUUGGAUUCCAUAAUGAUUUAGCAAGAUUCCGUAACAUGCACCACCAGGAUAAAUAGUUAGAGCGGGUGCAUUUUUGUAUAUGCCUUAAUUCGUACUUUGUGGUUCAAAUAAUAUAAUUGGGACAAAAUAAGUUGCUCCAUUGCCAAAGCUGGGUGGACCAGAGACUUUUCUUCUAAGAUUUCGCAAAUGGCGGCUUGAAACAAAUUAAAUAUCACAACAGCUAGCAUAUGCAAAAGUAUUCAUGCCCAUAGCAUACAACAUACUAAAAACCACAGGCCGCUUCUCACCGCCAAAGCUAGUGAUAGCAGUUGGCAACAUGCCAAUAUAGUAUAGCACUGAAAUGCCCCAAAACCACAGGCUACUUCUGACCAUGACGAAACCAGUUAGCAGUUGGCAACAUGGCACUGAAAUAUCCAUGAAAAACCAUCUGCUAAGUAGCCUAUUUAAACAGCACACACCUGCUCCACAUUCCCUCAGAGCCAUACCAGAACACAACUUUGCCACAUCCACAUCCUGAGAAACAACAUGAGUGUAGAAAUCCUUGAUGGCAAGACCGUCCAGAGCUUCGUCGAGGACGAAGGCGCCUUCAACUCAUCGGUGGAUGGGCGGUUUGCGGCCCUCGACACCAACCAUGAUGGCCUGCUGUCAUACUCCGAGAUGGCCCAGGAGCUGAUGAGCCUCAGGGUUCUUGAGAAGCACUUUGGCGUUGACGAGUCCGCCAUGAGCCAUGGUGAGCUUGUCGAGCUUUACCGUGGUCUGUUUGCGAGGUUCGACCGAGACGGCAAUGGCACGGUGGACCUUGAGGAGUUCCGGGCUGAGAUGAAGGAGGUGAUGCUCGCUGUGGCUAACGGGCUCGGCUUCCUGCCGGUGCAGAUGGUGGUCGAGGAAGGAAGCUUUCUGAAGGUGGCUGUGGACCGGGAGCUGGCCAAAGCAACUUGAAGAAACUGCUUGGAACGACUUUUCAGAAUCAGGAGGCUGCAUGUUCACGAAUUGUAACUUUUAUACUGCCAAUUUUGUUGUGUUACAACUAUACCGGUGCUAGUUAUUUGUACUUAAUAAGUGAAACAGAAGCCACAGCAUCAGUUUAAUUGACAAAAUGACAAGCUAGUUAUGUAAAGGGAAAUGUUGUGAAUCUAUGUUUGUGGAUGCCUACAUGAGAAAUAUCAAACUAGCAGUUUUAGAAUUUGGGUGUUUUGUUCUCACACCAGAAUCUGAUUAUGUUAUGACGACUGAAAAUUCAGAAAUAAUAUGUUCAGAACAGUCACCAAGAAGAAUCAGAUUAACACAAACUGAAUCAACCGCGUAUAUCGAAAUUCAAGAAAGUACAUUUCAAUUCAACACCUCAUGUUAGUACAAAGAGAAGUUCACAGAGUUUUGUUACAAAGAAAUUAACUGAAGAAAAGUAUGUAUCGGUUGCAGAAUUGGUAGCAACUUUACAUUACCAGCACCAGAGCUAACACUGUCAGAAUAGCUCAUCAACUGAUAUUGUGUUGUCUUCCGUCUGAUUCAUCUGCUACUCACAUGCCUCAUGCAUAUUUUACACAAGAUGCCGUUUCUAGACCUGCAGAAUGUAAGCCAUUGGACGAAAGAAGAACCCAUGCUGCCCUUUCUGAAUGAAGUUUAACACCUCCCAAAAUGUUCUUUUGCUAAUAGAGCAAUCCUGAUGUCCAAUUUGGCACCUGCAAAUUUAGGUAUAACAUACACCGCCAGCAAUCCAGAUUCUGGAUAACUACUUCGAAAACUUGAAGAACUGUUAGAUAAUGGCAACGAAAACCCGAGCCAUAUACUGCUAAUACUGCUGUUGCGGCAUUGUCCGAAACGCCAAUACGAUCGCAACCCAUGAGCUCAAUCCUUCUUCUCCUCGAGCUCACCUUCGAAAGCAUCAUCAUUGUUCUCCAAUGGAGAAUCUUUGAUCUCCAGUGACCUCACGAAGUUAAAGUAGGCGUACUUGAUGUCAAACUGCAUGUCAUACCAGUAGUUGACGGCAAUGUUGAGCUCGUUAGGCCCGGGGCUCUGGCUGACAUGGUGAAACCACAUGCUCGGCAAGUAGAGCAUCUCGCCGGCGCGGACGGUGCAACGAAUCGGCCUGGGACCCUUGAAGUAGAGCGGGCAGGCUGAGACCUGCGCCGCCAUCUCCUCCGGCGACGCCGGGUACGGGUCCGCUGCUCCACGGCACGACCCUCUCGGGCUCUUCCAUCUCCAGCUUGAGCUCCGGCACCUCCUCCCCUUCCUCCACCGGGACGUAGCCGGCGGCGGGGUAGUCGCGGACGUGGAGGCGGUGGUGCUCGGUGGGGGGCAGGAGGAGGAAAUGCUUCUCGCCGGAGAGGACGACGUAGAUGUUGUCGUAGUGGUCCUUGUGGAAGGAGGUGACGGAGCAGGCGUUGCCGAUCCAGAGGUUGACGGCCUCGGGGAGGCAGCCGAGCGCCUCGCUGGCCCAGGGCACGUGCGCGUCCACGUCGCCGGCCACCGCCGCGUACUCCCCGCGCAGGCAGUCGUCCUGCUGCUGCGCGUACGCCACCAGGCCGGCGGCCGGGUCGGAGUCCCUGAUGAGUCGCACGGCGGCGGGGAAGUCGACCCGGCGGACGUGCGCCGACGCGAAGCACCUGGCGCCGGGACGGCGCGGGUGCGCGGCGAGGGCGUCAGCGCGGCCGUCGGGGGUGAGGUGGACGGAGACGUCGGUGGAGCGGAGCGCGUCCGGGAGGUAGGAUUCGGUGGGCCAGAGCGAGGCGGCGGGCCAGUGGCGGGUGGCGGCGGCGGAGACGAGGAGCGGGCGGCCCGGGGAGACGUGGUCGCGGAGGAAGGCGAGCGGGGUCGGGGGCAGGUCGGCGCGCGCCACGGCGUCCGGGGAGUGGAGGCCCAGCAGCUCGCGCGACUCCGCCCACAGCUCCCGCACGCCGCGCUCCAUCUCUCAGGCUGCGCCGCUGGUUUCGCGAAUUCUGGCGGCGGCGGCGGCGGCGGCACGGCGGCUCAACGCGCGCCGAACCAAGGGACUGGCAGGCGAGCUGGCCCACUGGGGAUACGGGCCAGACCUAUGGCUAUGGGCUACGGCCCUGGUUUCGUAACUUCUUUAUGGGCUGUAAUCAUGUGGACGUAAAGUUGCAAGGCCUUCGACCCCGUUGCAUCCUUGUGAACGCAGGUGAUUAAUAGCAACGCGAACCCUUUUAGAACCAGUAUAUAGCCGCGUCGCAAAGGCUUUUGAGUUAUUUGAAAAUAAUUUGGGAAUACUUGAUUUUUAUUUGAAAAAAGAUUCACCAAUUUUGGAAGAAAGUUCAUCCAUUUGGGAAAAAAGUUCGUCAAAUGUGAAAAAAGUUCACUGAAUUUGAAAAAAACUUCACUGGGUUUGAAAAAUACUUCAUCGGAUUUGAAAAAACUUCACUGAUUCCGAAAAAAAGUUCAUCCAUUUAGGGAAAAAAGUUUGUUGGAUUUGAAAAAAGUUCAGCAAUUUUGAAAAAAGUUCACCGGUUUUGAAAAAAAGUCCAUCUCUAUGGGAAAAAAGUUCAUCGGAUUAGAAAAAAGUUCACGAGUUUGGAGAAAAAAACUCGUUGACGUUCAAAUAAAUCUCGAUUUUGAAUAAAAAUUUCAUCAAAUUUGAGAAAAAGUUCAUCAAAGUUAAAAAUGUUCAUCCAAUUUGAAUUAGUUUGUGCAUAAAAGUUAAAGAAAAAGGAAAAGAAAAUAUGAAAGAAAAGAAACGGAAAAAACAGGAACAAAAAACAGUCCGAAAAAACACACAACAAGAAAGAAAGUAAAAAAGGCUGGCAAAGUAUAAAAGAUGAAAAGGAAGGGAAUUGCCCAUGAGGUGUUGUCUUUCCCGGUUCGCUGAUGCGAGUGGAACUUACACUAUAGGUCACGGGUUUGAAUCUCUCCAGCACUCAUUUUUUGCGCAUUAAGCCAGAAUAAAAAGGUGUGAGAUGGGCAGUCGUCCAUUAACAAAAAUGCCCUAUAACUGGCGCUACAGGCGCCAGAUAGGGUUUGCCUUCGCCCCCUUAUUUCGAAAAAGGAAAAGCUAUAAGGCCCUUCAAGGACGUACAUCCUCACUGUGCAUUUUUUUUCCCAAAAGGAAACUCACUGUUCUUUUUUUUUUCAGAAAAGAAUACACGGUACAGCAGCUACAUACGCCAACGCAAGCACUAGCUAGCUCAAAUGGAUCGCGCAUGACGGCCUACCAUUUUUUUUUACGACGAUGAUGUACCGUUUUGACUUUAGAAACGAUGGAUCAGAUUAAUAACCGCUCGAUCGACGCGGACCAUCUAUGUAUGCUUCUUCUUCUUUUUUCGAACAGAUAUGCUUCAUGAUUUGUACGUACAUCUGUUUCGUCCUUGCAUGGCAAACACAAACAUGGUUAUCCUAAGUACCUAACCAUGCAUGCGUCGUCGAACGUCUCACCCGUCCGUAUGAGCCCAUACGCGCAUGCAUGCCAGCAGGCCGCUUGUGGACAGUGAAAUACGGUAAUGAACUGCGUGUUUUAUCGUCCAUUUGCUUGGGAAAACCUGCAGGAAAUCUGGUAGUUAUUGGGGGUUGACCUACUCACGGUGAGCUCAUCAGAUAAGGAGCAGUUGCCACAGAGUGCCUAUUUUGAGGACGUGUCGGUGCUCCGUUUGCCAAUGGCACACAUUGCUGCAAAUGCUUGCAUUUCAACAUGGUUCUUAUCUUUGUUGACAUAUAAAGUAUUAGUCUGCAUAUAAGAUUUGGUCAAAGUCAAGCUUCGUAAAAUUUGACUAACUUUAUAUUAAAAAAUAUAAACAUUGACAAUAUGAAAUCUAUAUUAUCAGAUGCAUCACAAAAUGUAUUUUCAUACUAUGUAGUUUUAAUAUUGUAGAUGUUCAUACUUCUUUAUAUAAAUUUGGUCAAACUUUGUGUAGUUUGACUUUGACCAAAUCUUAUAUACGGAAUAAAAAGAAACGGAGAGAGUAGUAUAUAAGUAAAAGAAUGGUCACUACCAUGUACUCCCUGCGUGACUUAUUAGUCUCUCCGUUUCUAAAUAUUUGUUUUUCUAGAGAUUUCAACAAGUGACUACAUACGGAGCAAAAUGGGUAAAUCUACAAUUUAAAAUAUGUCUAUAUACAUCCGCAUGUGAUAGUCAAUUUAAAAUCUCUAAAAAGACAAAUAUUUUAAAAAACUGAGAGAGGAUAAGAUAUGCAUGACCAAUCGUUGCGCCAUUCGUUCUCCAACUUACCAAAGCUCUUGAUAAUUCAUGUGUUUGUACCACAAUGAUGGAGCAGCCAUUUUUUUUUUUUUGAAACCAGAGUGACGCCAAAUGCAUCCGAAUAAAUAAAUAAACAAUCUAAGCCGCAAGACUAACUUUGCUUAUCUUUCAAUCAAGCAACCCAACCUGCUUUCGCAUAAAUCUCGGCCUGUCGUUUGGCCGGACGGACAAAACGCUGAGGUGGAUCAGCUCGUCGUACACGUACCAGUAUUAAAUUGCAUGUGGCCGCAGUCCGACAUGGGGGCACAUCGCUGUCCGAGGCCGGUCAUGGGCACUGUUGGGCGGGCCCCUCCCCACCGCCCCUAGCCGUGGCGCCACCUCACCCAUCGCUUCCCGGUCAUGGGCUCCAAUCAUCCCACUCCGGUCUCUGCGGCCAGCAACUCCGUGGCUCCAGUUGUGGCUGCAUGGGUAACACAUGGCACGGUGGUGCUGGGUCGAACUGGCGUGCGUGAUGGCGACAACACACGGCACGGCCGCCGAAAGUGAGCAGCUACCUGGCCGGCGCGGUGCCACGGGAGAUCACGGCGGUGGGUAUGCAGACGGGGCCCGGGGUGACAGCCGGCCAUGUCGACUACUAUUUCUUCUGGGUGAUAUGGCACCCAUCAGCCCGGCGGACCAUCCUACUGGGCACUCGCCGGCGCAUGUUGGAUGCCCGGUGUGGACUCUCUCUCCGGUCGACGUCGAAAGCUCCUUGCCAGGUCAUCUGAUCAUCUGAAUGGCCGGUUUAAAGCGACGAUAACGACGGGGGCCAGAAUUUCUCGGAAAGAUUUGCUGGGGCCAAAACCAUACGGAAACAAUUUGUUUAGAGGUGGAAGGAAGGUUACAUGGGAAACCAUGGUUGUUUAGCCAUUUGCAAGAGCUCGGUUACCUUGUGCUUGUCAGUCUCCUGAUCCUGAUCCUGACCUUUCGGCGGCGGCCAGGGAAAAGAUCAACGCGAUUAAUUAGUGGUGUGCUACUGCAUAUGAGUGUAAUCUCGCUGUCUUGCUGAUGAGUUCAGAUCACUUUGCUUUUGCAAAUUACCUUGUUUUGUAGGAUGAGGUAGAUCCAUGGACGACAACUACCCCUGCGGCGCGGUGGUAAUCGGCUUACGUAUCAUCUGUGCCACCUUUUGGUAAAGGUGGUAGAGGCCAGAGCAAGUAGACGAACCACAAAGGUGAUAUAUCGCUCUCGACCGAGGCCAUUCAUUUGCUAUAGUCAUAAUUGUUGUUGAUGAACUCUGAAGCAUGACACAUGCAAGCUACUGCUACUACAGUAGCACUAGAACAGGGACGGCCGGACAGGAUUCUGGCGGUGAUUGCUUGGGGAUCUGGAGUUGCUCUAACAAGAAACUUUGAUCCAUUUGACACCGUCUUAUUAUAAACUCAAAAAAAAAUUAAAAUACUUAGAGCAUCUACAGCCGUGGCCUGCAAAUCCGGGCCAUCGAUCGCCCACGGACGCACAAGGGCGCGCCCGCGUGGCUCUAACCGAGUACUGCUCAAAUCAUGUUGUCCAUAUCCGUGUUUCUCAUAUCCGGUCUCUCAUAUUCAUACCAGCAUUCAACGUAGAUAAAAACAACGUAGAUCAUCACACAAACAUAGACCGUAGAAUUGGACAGAUAAAUGCACAUUCCGAUCAUCAAAAAAUUACCGACGGAUGUCCAAAACAUCACCAAAAUUCACAUAAAUGACGGACACGUUCGAACUAGAUUAGUAAAACCUUGAAAUUAAAGACGAAGAUGGCAGAGAUUCACCACUUCUUCGCCGGCCCUUUGCCCUUCCGGUAGCCGGCGCAACUGUAGGCAUUGGCGACUGCUGGCGGAUCGUCCGAGUUGUCGGAUGAGGAGUUGUGGUCCUUGUCAUCGUCGGAGGUGUCGGAGAGGAUGAUGAACCCAUUUGAGGAGCCGCGCGUCCUUGUCGGGCUUCGCCUGCAUCCCAGGCAACAGCGCCCGGACUGCUCCGCCUUCCUUCUCUCCCUUUCCCGCAUCUGAUUCCGACAUGCGCGUUCGUGCCAGCGGGGCGGGCACAAGCACCGACCGCUGCCCACGUGGGGGAGCAGCAGCUGGCGGGGGCAGGGGACGACGUAGGGGAGGCACGGAUUGCGCAGGUCACCUGUUGGAGCUGCGCACAGGCCAGAAGGGGCCAGCGCCGACAUGUGAGCUGCGCUGACGGGCAUGUUGCGUCUGCAGCGAGGCUGCAGAUCCAGAGCUGCCCCUAGUCUCCACCUUGGACCGCUCCAAGGCGAUGCGGCGGGCAAACUCACAGUCUGGAUUCAGCUCGAAGUCAGAGCAGCUGCCGAAGCUCGACAUUGCGCCGGAUUCGAUCGGAAUCGGCACGGGGAGAGAAGAGGACAGAGCGCGAGAGGAAAUUUGCGGUUUGCCACCAGAGACGCCCUUAGAAAAUUAUUAACACUACUUACGAAUAUGCAUGUACUCCCUCCGUCCGGAAAUAUUUGUCAUCAAAAUGGAUAAAAAAGGAUGUAUCUAGAACUAAAAUACACCUCCUUUUAUUCAUCUUGAUGACAAGUAUUUUCGGACGAAGGGAGUAGCAAACAUAUAGACCAUAAUAAGAUACAGACUCGCAUCACAUCAUAUCUAAAAAUACGAAAACUCAUACCUACUGCCGAAAAAGAAAGUCUAUACAUGUUCCCUCAAAAGAAAAGGUCUAUACAUCUAAACUAGCAUAGGCCGGGUGGGCACGUACCCUGAGAUGGAGAGCUAACCUAAGGGCAUCUCCAACAGUUGUAAUGCUCCUGUUUGGUUUCAAAUAAGUCACCAAAUUAUAAGUCGAAAAGUGUAAAAAGUGACUUAUUUUGCCAAACGGACUCAAUUUAUAAGUCACCUUAACUUAUAAGUCAUAAGUUGCUCCACCCCAACUUAAAACUUAUAAGUCACUCCUUUUGCAUGGGUCCCAUCACCUUUACAUAAAAAAACAAGGUAGAAAGGUAUGCUCAGGUGACUUAGGGCAUCUCCAGCCGUUCGGCCCCCCAGGGCGCCUAAAUAGAGCGGCCUGGGGCGUGCCGGCGCUAGUUCGGCCCCUGGGAGCGACCUAACUCCCAGUCACGCCCCCAAGCGCCGGUCCCAGGAUGCGGGAAAUUUAAAACUUGGUCGUACCUGCCCUCAAAAGACGCCACAAAUCUGGCGAUCGGACGUAGUCUGGUGUUACAAAAAACAGAGCGUCGCACGCCGCAAGUUCGUGUGCAUGAUUCAUUCGGCGGGGUCGGCUCCAGGCGUUGGCGGAGUCGGCGUGCUCGGGCUCGGCGGUGUCGGAGCUGCUUCGGUGUUGGGCUGUGUCGGUGCGGCUUCGGCACUGCUGGGCGGCGACGUAGAUGCGUCGUUCGGGCUUGGCGUCCGUGUGGUCGUGGGCGCGGGAGCUUGCGCUGUCGGCGUCGUCGGCGUUGCCGUCCGCAUAUGAUUCAGGAUGAGGCCGCGCUCCGCCAUGUACCACGCCCUGAGCUCCUCGUCGUCGCUCUGGAGCAUGUCUGCCCCGCCCAUCAGAAAAGCCAUGUCGGUGUUCCUCUUCUUCGCGACGACGUUCGUCCGGAGCAGGUCGAGCUUGAUGGCGCUGUUCUUCAUUAGCGACGACCACCGCGCCUCGGUCUUCUCUUCACGUAGGACGGCCCGGGCCUGGGCGUCAGCGAGGCAAUGCUCGAUGGACUCCUGUACUCGCGCGGUUGCCGCGUCGGCGUUUUUCCCCUUCUUUGCCAAUUUGUGGCCGUCCGGCCGCCCCUCACUCGCGCCCGGAGUCGUCGCGUCCGGCUUGUAUGUCUCCUUGGCCUUGUCGAGGGCACGUCGGACUUCCGCCCACUUCUCGCACUUGUCAAUGCGCUUGUAGACGUGGAGGUGCUUGAAGUCGGCGUCUUGGUUGUCUCCCCGAUACAUGGCGAACAUACGCAGCAGCUGCGCGGAGGAACAAACAGUUGGCGGGCGGCGGGCGUAGCCGACGAAGAUAUGCGGGCGAACGGUGUGCGUACCUGAUCCUCAACGCUGGCGCCGCUCUCCGGGCGAGCCGCGACCUCCUCGACGAUUCCAUGCCAUUUGUUGCACGCCAACUAGAUACGCCCCCAAUGGUUCGCCAUCGCCAUGGAGCCGCGCUGCAUGUAGACGCCUUUGAAGUACGGGUCGACGAGCUUCCGCUCGUCGAACUCGGCCUUGAUGCGGUCCCAGUACGUCUCCAAGCUCUGGUUCGCGCCGGUGGUCGGGUCGAGGCAGACGAUUUUUCAUGCUUCGGCGAGGCAUUCCACCUCCUUGGACGUCCACUUGAUGCGCGGUUCGCCUGACCUAGCCGCCCGCUUCUUCUUCUUCUGGCGCCCCUUCAUCGGAACAGGAGCCGGCUCCUCCUCCUCCUCCUCCUCCUCCUCGUCCUCCUCCUCCCCGGGUUCCUGCGCUUCGUGCGCGUCCUCGCCAUAGACGUAGCCGAGCUCGGCCUCCAUGUCGCCAUUGAGAUCCACUACCUCGUCCUGGGUGGCGAACCCGGGAGACGCGGCGGUCGCGGUCGAUCCUGUCGCGAUGAUGUCGUCCAUGUCGGCUCCUGUGUCGUCGGCAUCGCCGAGGUGCGAGAAGGGCAGCGGACCACGUCGGAGAUGGGGCGUCGGUGUGGACGCGUAGGUGACGGGCGGCGAGUAGUUGUAUGGAGGGUACUGCACGCCAACGAAUGCGGGCGAGGGUGUGCGCGUCGCGGGGUGGCCAUGGGGGAAGGUCACGUUUGGGUUGAACCCCCUGUGCGCGUCGCCGUCGGCGUAGCCGGGCGACGACGAUCCCCAUGGAGAGCCGAUGCCUUGAUGUCCCCAGGGCGCGUACUGGGCGUGGCUGAUGGCGGGUGGAUUCAUCAUCCCCGCGUGGUCGACCAAUGAGGAAGACGCCGCCGCACGCGCCGCGUUGUCGCGGGCCUUCUUGGCAAUGGCCCUGUUCCGCCAGUCGGUGGUGACUGUGUCGCGUCGCUGGACUUCCACCCUCCACUCGGCGCUCGACAUGCCCGGUGGCUUCGAUAGCGGCGCCCUCGGCUUCCUCUGCUUCGGCUGGGCCACGGUGCCAGACGUGGUUGCCGCCGUGCGCGGCAUGGCAUACUUCUUCGGCGGCAUGGCGGCGACUGGAAGGCGAGCUGGAGGGGGUUUGGCGGGAGAAAGGGAGAGAAUGGCGGGAGGAAGGCGAGCGAGCGGGAGAGAUGCGAGGGAAAACGUCAAGAAACGGCGGGAAAAGGCCCUCGGGUCGCCGCCAGGGCGGGCCCACGCGCCUUUUUCGCUUGCGCCGGCUCCCCAAGCGCCCCUCAGGGCGCCGGGUUCGGCCUGGGUCCGCCGGCACCAGUUUUUGCCCGAGCCGGCGAAAAACGGGCUUCUGGGGGCGCGACUGGGCCGUUUUUCUGGCGCCGGCGCGGCAAAAUCUCCUGGGGAGGGCCUGUUGGGGGCGCGACUGGAGAUGCCCUUAUAAGUCAGGUGGUAACCAAACAGACGUGACUUAUAAGUCACUGAUUUUAAGCCACCUGACUUAUAAGUCAGGUGACUUAUUGGAACCAAACAGGCCCUAAGAUAGAUGUUGAUAAAUUUGCCAUCUAGGACAUAGUGAUGAUGUGGCAUGUAAUAAAUGCGGAGAGAGGGAGAGAGAGCAAGGUUGUAUGUAGAUUAACCAACAACGUUUACACAAGCUCCAAGGUGAAAUAGAGAGCAAGCACAUUUAUUUUCUUAUCAUCUAUUGGAUAACUUAGAUACACUCCAUUGGAAUAGUUGUAUGAUAGUUUGUUGGUUGAUGACAUGGACAUUUUAUCAAUAAAACUAACAUACAACCUAUUGAAGAUGCCCUAAAUAAAUUCCAAAAUCAAAAGCACAACUAUUCAAGAGCCCACGUUCAUUGGUUAACUGCAUUAUCUUGACGCCAACCCCGACAGCCGCCCCUGUUCGCGCCAUCAUAAUCUCGUACGAAGCAAACACUAAUCAAACCCGUUUUGAUCCAGAUAUCACAGAUCGGUCGAAUCUCUCUCCCCGAGAAUUACUAGAGCUAAAUCGGCGAGAGCAUAAUUUAAUCUGACUGGGACCGACGAUCCGAUGGAAAGGACGGCGCGGACCGUGCCGGAACGAUGAGAUGCGCACACCUCAAGGCUAGCUAGACCUACAACGCAAAAGAGAGCUCCACUUGCCCCUCGCCACUGCCACGAGGGAUCAGAUUUGGCCAGCACACGACACGCCUCAACGUACACUGGAAUUUAUGGGAAAAUGAACUCUAGAACCUCUCGCUGCCUUUGAUCGAAUGCAUAUGUGUGUGUGACACGAUCCGUCCCGAUCGCGCACCAUGUGGAGCGAGAUGAACUAGACGCCGGCCGUGCAUCGAGGCACUGUUGCAUGGUGCACACCCUGGUCUGUUCUUCGGACCCUUUUCCCUAGUGUCAUGACUCACGGGCCACCUUUAGUUGGAUGGCAUGACACGUCGUCCGGACGUGCUCAUUUGCAUAUACAGCUCCCGAGAUUCCCGAUCAUCAUGAGAUGGACUCGACUUGUUUAUUUUCUUUGGCGUCUGAAUUUCGUUUGUGUUGUCCCCGUUUUGGCCUCCGGAGGCCGCUAUAUAUAGCCCCUCCACCCCGACCCAUUCCUCCACACACACACACGCGAGCCUCACACUCUCUGAUCACAGUAGGACUAGCUUCAGCUAGCCUGCAGCGUCUGCCACUCCGGGCAUUUUCUUGCAUCAACCACGGCAAUGGCCACCGCUGAUGUACGUAUAGCUUGCCUCGAUCGUCGUCUAUUCUCUUUUCGUAUGCUCCGAUCGAUGAUCGUUUCGAUUGUUUCUUUACCCUUUGAUCUGUUUAUUAUAUGUGUGAUCUGACGAACGGCCGGGUGAUCAUGAUUGUUUCUUUACCUCGAGAUCGGUUUGUGUAUGUGUUAUACAUGUGCGUGCUGCUAAUGAACGAAACUGUGCGUCGUGCAGGUCCAGAACCCGACGGCCGCGCUGACGGAGGAGGCGCCCGCGGUGGAGACGCCCGUCGCCGCCGAGGAGGUUGCUAAGACAGAGGAGGUCCCCGCGCCGGUGGAGGCCGAAGUCGAGGCGCCUGCCCCCGUCGAGGUUGAGGCGACCAAGGAGGACGCACCGGCCGCCGCCGAGACGAAGGAGACCAAGGAGCCCGAGCCAGCAGCUGCUGCCGAGCCGGAGGCCGAGGCGCCGAAAGAGCCAGCCGUGGUCGAGACAGAGACCAAGGAGGCGGUGGCAGAGGCCGAGCCGGCGGUGGCAGAGGAGGUGAAGGAGGAGGCGGCGCCUGCUGCCGAGCCGGAGGUGGCGGCCGUCGCCGAGGAAGCACCUGCUGCUGCGGAGGAGGAGCCGGCCGCCGCGGUGGCCAGCGUCAGCGUGUGAGGCGCGCGGUGGAGGGCAACUGGCUGGGUCAGCGUCCACGACGGCGGCCGUGUGCUCCUACGUGGCAACGGCGUGAUGCUGAGUCAGCCAGUGGAGUGGACUGGAGUGCUACUUUUUACUACGAGUACUAGGUGUGGAGUGGAGUGGAGUGCUAUGCGCGGGGUCGCGUGACGUGGCCUAAAUAAAAGUGUUGUCGGUCAGCAUCGAGCGAGCGACGCAGUGCCACUCUAGAUAAUGUAUGCUUUUUAUUUUGUCGACAAGACAUGAUUCAUUAUUUCUACGGACAUCUGUUUUCUCUUUGCAUGGCAAACAUAAACCUUGUUUAUCUUAAUUUAGAUUUCUAUAACCGUGCGCCGUUGGUAUGAGCUACACACGCAUGCAUGCCCGGUCAGCAUGCAUAUAGUAGCCGCAUUUGUUAGAAAUAAUGGCUCAACCUGUGAAUAAUUUCUGAAAUCACAAAUUGGCCCAUGUGUAAAUUGGCAAGUGGUGGUUCUAAUUCUAAAGUUUAUUAAAACAUCGAAAGUUGAAAAGAUGUGAUAACUCGUUAUAUAGUGGACUCUCUCCAUCACAUUAAGUCAUGUGGCAUGGAGAGAAAGAGAGAACCCCACGCGCACGCUCGCAUCGUCGCCUCACCAGGCUCGGGUUGGGCUCGGACUGGGGUGGCACAGGCAUGCGACAUGCGUGUGAAUUGUCCGCCGCACGUUUACCUUGCCGGCUCAACCCAGGGCCGGGGCGGCGCGGGCGUGUGACAUGCGCAUGAAUGGUUCGGCGAAAUCCUCCAUGCAGCAGGUCUCCGAACCCUUCGUCCUUACGAACCCGCAUUGGUAGAGGACGAAUUAGGUUUUUGUAAAGUGCUUCACAUGACUGCUCAAUCUCGCCAUCGCUGGUUGUCUUCGACCAAGGUAAGGCGCUACCGCGCGGCAUCUUACUAACUCUGCUUCGACCGGUCUUCACCAAGGUCAUCGUCCAUAACAUCGCCGCCCCUGCAAUAGCCACGGCUACGUCAUCGGUGAACGAUCAGUACGAGCACCAUGAUAUGAUCAUGUCUCUAGUUAUGUAAUUUUAGUAAUGAAUUAUUUUCUGAAAUUAAUCACAAAAUUGUCUAAUUUUCCAACAGCCUUCUGUAUGGCCAAUCAAUGCAUCAUUUUCUUUUUAACUUACCAAAGCUCAGUUCACUCAUUUGCUUGACAAUGAUGGAGCAGACAAAAGAAAUAUAUAUUUUUACUUUAUUUCGAAACUGAAGUUAGCAGAUGGCAAAUGCAGCCAAAGAAAUACCAAAGGCACGUACGAGCUGGAGUUUUUUAAUCUUACAUGUUGAAAAAGAAAACUUAUCGUUCAAUCAGGCAGCCUGCUUUGCACAAAAUUUCGGCUUGUCGUACCCGACGAUAGACAGCCCGCUGAGGUGGAUCACAGGUGGCCGCAGGCCGGCGCUGGAGGCACAUCACACGUCGAUCAUUCACAGGUGGAAAUGGAACCCAGUGCACACCGCUGGGCACUGUGCGGCGGGCCCCGCUCCACCGUCCCUAGCCGUGGAGCCACCUCAGCAUGGCUUCCGGGUCAUGGGCUCCAAUCAUCCCGUUGCCGCUCACUGCGCCCGACGAUUCCGUGGCCCGAAAUGUGGUGGCUCUACGGCUAUCACCUUCAGCUUCACAAAGGAUCAGACCCAUCUCGAUCGCCAGCACGCAAGUUUUGGGCGGUGCGCCUCGAUCGAACUGGCGUACGCGAUGGCGACCACACAUGCCACGGCCGCCGAAAGUGAGCAGCUACCUGGCCGGCUGGCCGUGCGGUGCCACGGGAGAUCACGGCGGUGGGUAUGUAGGCGGGGCCCGGGGUGACAGACUACUAUGGGCCAGUUCUUUUCGGCGAUUCUUUCAGAAUUGCCCCCCUCUGCAGCUUCUUCUAGAAUCGAAACUUCAUUUUUUUUACAAUCGAACUGGCCUUAUAUCUUCUAGUGCUAAUUAGCUAGGGUUGUAAAAAACAUAUGGAAUGGUGAUUCUGGGAGAAGCUGGGGAGGGAGGCGAUUCUGGUAGAAUCGGCCAAAAGAACUGGCCCUAUAUCUUCUGGGUGAUAUGUCACCAAUCAGCCCAGCGGACCAUCCUACUGGACACUCGCCGGCGCAUGUUGGAUGCCCGGUGUGGACUCUCCCUCCGGUCGACGUCGAAAGCUCCUUGCUCACCGCUUUCCAUGUCAUCAGAAGAUCUGAACGAAAUGGCCGGUUUAAAGCAGUGACAACGACGGCGGCGAGAAUUUCUCGAAAAGAUAGCUGCCCAACCCCAUCAUCUUCCUCCUCCGCUGGGGCCAAAACCAUCUGGAAACAAAUAGUUUAGACGAGGAAGGAAGAUUACAUAGGAAACCUCAUUUGUAAGAGCUCAGCUACCUCGUGCACAUCUGCCUUUCAGCGGCAGUGACUGACCGGCGAGGAAAACGAUCAGGUGGCGAGGCGCCACCAGCGCGAUUAAUUAGUGGCGUGCUACUGCGUGAUGGGGGAUGGAGUUGAUCGAUCAUCGAUGGACAACCACCCCUGCGGCGCGGUAGUAAUCGGCUUGCAUAUAUCUACGCUAGCUUUUGGGCAAAGGUGGCGGACGCCGGAGCAAGUAGACGAGCCACAAAGCCAAAGGUGACGGGGGACAACCGUUCAUUUGCUGUCAUAAUUGUUGCCGAUCAACUCUGAAGCAUGACACAUGCAAGCUACUACUCCCUUCGUUCCUAAAUAUAAGUCUUUUUAAACAUUUCAAAUGAAACACAACAUACGUAUGUAUGUAAACAUAUUUUAGAGUGUAGAUUCAUUCAUUUUGUUUCGUAUGUAGUCAUUUGGUGGAAUCUCUAGAAAGACUUAUAUUUAGGAACGGAGGGAGUACUACAGUAGCACUAUAGCAGGGACAUGAUUCCAGCGGUGAUUGCUUGGGGAUUUGGAUGUUGCCCUCACAAGAAACGUUGAUCCAUUUGGCACAAUUUGAUAGUACAUAAGAAAACUUUAACCCAUUCUUUUUCUAGAAAGGAAAAGUAGUGUUCGAAUAGAAGAGGGUGUGCCUUAAGCAAAUACUCCAUACACCGUUUAACUAGGACCUUAAGUAGAUCAUAUCAUACGUCAGUCGACCAAAACCACACAUACACUGCUGGCGAAGAAAGUCUAUAUAGUAUCUAGCGUAGCAAAGGCCGGGUGGCCACGUACCCUGAGAUGGAGAGCUAACCUAAAUUCCAAAACCAAAUCGAGACUAUUCAGGCGCGCACAUUGAUUGGUUGCAAGUGCAUUGUCUUGACGCCAACCCCGACAGCCGCCCCUGUUCAGCUAUCAUAAUCUCGUACGAAAACAGACGCUAAUCAAAUACGCCUCGUACGUUUUGAUCCAAAUCACAGAUCGAAUCGCCCUCCCUCCCUCCCUCAGAAUUACAGCUGAAUCGAUGAGAGCAUAUUUUAAUCGGCUGGGGAUCCAUGAUCCGAUGAAAAGGACGGCGCAGAACGUGCAAGAAACGACGAGAUGUGUUGUGUACACCUGAAAGGUGCGCUUGCCUGUUGCCACUGCCACCAGGGAUCAGAUUUGGCCAUCGCCCAUCACACUACACACACAUCAAUGGGACAGGGUUGAUCAUACACGAAAACUUAUGGGAAAUGGAAAAUAAAUUCAAGAAUUUCGCUGCUUUUCUAGAGAGAGAGAGAGAGUGUGUGUNNNNNNNNNNNNNNNNNNNNNNNNNNNNNNNNNNNNNNNNNNNNNNNNNNNNNNNNNNNNNNNNNNNNNNNNNNNNNNNNNNNNNNNNNNNNNNNNNNNNNNNNNNNNNNNNNNNNNNNNNNNNNNNNNNNNNNNNNNNNNNNNNNNNNNNNNNNNNNNNNNNNNNNNNNNNNNNNNNNNNNNNNNNNNNNNNNNNNNNNNNNNNNNNNNNNNNNNNNNNNNNNNNNNNNNNNNNNNNNNNNNNNNNNNNNNNNNNNNNNNNNNNNNNNNNNNNNNNNNNNNNNNNNNNNNNNNNNNNNNNNNNNNNNNNNNNNNNNNNNNNNNNNNNNNNNNNNNNNNNNNNNNNNNNNNNNNNNNNNNNNNNNNNNNNNNNNNNNGGGCCACCUUUAGUUGGAUGGCAUGACACGUCGUCCGGACGUGCUCAUUUGCAUAUACAGCUCCCGAGAUUCCCGAUCAUCAUGAGAUGGACUCGACUUGUUUAUUUUCUUUGGCGUCUGAAUUUCGUUUGUGUUGUCCCCGUUUUGGCCUCCGGAGGCCGCUAUAUAUAGCCCCUCCACCCCGACCCAUUGCUCCACACAUACACACGCGAGCCUCACACUCUCUGAUCAGAGUAGCACUAGCUUCAGCUAGCCAGCCUCUGCCACUCCGGUCAUUUUCUUGCAUCCACGACGGCAAUGGCCACCGCUGAUGUACGUAGCUUGCCUCGAUCGUCGUCUAUUCUCUUUUCGUAUGCUCCGAUCGAUGAUCGUUUUGAUUGUUUCUUUACCCUUUGAUCUGUUUAUUAUAUGUGUGAUCUGACGAACGGCCGGGUGAUCAUAAUCAUGAUGGAGCUAGAUCGGUUUGUGUAUGUAUGUCUUGACAUGUGCGUGGUGGUAAUGAAAGUACGUGUGCAAACUUGCAGGUCCAGAACCCAUCGGCCGCGCUGACGGAGGAGGCGCCCGCGGUGGAGAAGCCGGUCGCCGCCGAGGAGGUCGCGAAGACGGAGGAAGCCCCCGCGCCGGUGGAGGCCGAAGUCGAGGCGCCUGCCCCCGUCGAGGUUGAGGAGACCAAGGAGGAGGCGCCGGCAGCAGUUGAGGCAGAGGAGACGAAGGAGCCCGAGCCAGCAGCUGCGGCCGAACCGGAGGCCGAGGCGCCCGCCGUGGUCGAGACAGAGACCAAGGAGGCCGUGGCUGAGGCAGAGCCGGCGGCGGCCGAGGAGGUGAAGGAAGAGGCGGCGCCUGCUGCCGAGGCCGAGCCGGCCGCUCCCGCUGCUGCUGAGGAAGCACCGGUGGAGGCAGCCGCGGCCGCGGUGGCCAGCGUCAGCGUGUGAGGCGCCAGCGCGCGCGGAGGAGGAGCUGGCUGGGUCAGCGUCGACGGCGGCGGCCGUGUGCUCCUACGUGGCACGGCGUGAUGCUGAGUCAGCCAGUGGAGUGGUGCUACUUUUUACUAGGUGUGGAGUGGGAGUGCUAUGCGCGGGGUCGCGUGACGUGGGCUAAAUAAAAGUGUUGUCGGGGCCAGUCGACGCCCAGUGUCGGGUCAGCAGCGAGCGAGCGAGCGACGCAGCGCCACUCGCCGGCACCCGUGUGCCUGCGUCUGCUCAGCUGGAGCUUUGUUGCGGUGUGUGUCACAGUGUCAGUUCCACCUAUGAUCGAUCGGUAUCCUAUCCGGUUUGUGUACGUCUCUGGAGGAUGAUCUCCAGCUAACUUACCACUUUACCGAUCCAUCUAGACGAAUAACGUAGGCGUAUAUAUAGAUCCGGCGAUCGCCGGCGCCGGUGGCUUCUUCCUUGGUUUAUUCAGAUUCAGACCCGCGCAGUUCCGGUCGGUAAGCAAACAGUGCUGCAUUUUUUUGAGCC